This 80571-nucleotide long non-coding RNA is filed under the name Ananas comosus (pineapple). RNAcentral describes it as "long non-coding RNA (ACOM_LNC006435)". The record is from RNAcentral. Lineage: Eukaryota; Viridiplantae; Streptophyta; Magnoliopsida; Poales; Bromeliaceae.
ACGUGUUACCUAAGUCUAAGAAAUUUUGUCACAAUCAAACUCAUGUUUAAACCAUGAGUUCAGGACAAAUUUUUUGCCAAAAGAUUACGGACCAAACUAUGAUUUUUUGAUAGUUCAUGGACUACCAGCACAAUUCACGUAUUAUAAAACACAAAAUAAAAUUUUCUGACCAAACAACUUGUGAAUUCAUGUUCUGUGCCGAAACUGUCAUAGAAACAUUAGAAUGUGAAACUAAAAGACUAGACAUUCAAUGUCAAAAGCAACUGCAAGAAUAUAAAUCUUAUUUCGACCAAAACAUAAAAAAAAAAAAAAAAUCUUCUUCCAGUUUCGUAUCAUUGCACGACUAAAGUAUUGCAGGGAAUGCUACUAGCUCAACUUUGUAGUUCAACUACCCGAUUACAAUUUCAUGGGAGGCCAUUUCAAGCCAUGCACUGUUGAUUCCAAUUUUGUUUCCUUUAAGAUCAUUUUGUUUCCAUUAAUGAACACCAAACCAAAUAGCAGUACAGUACUAUUCUAUCAUUCUGGAAUAAGAAAGUCAGAAGAUCACAUAACUUUAUUCUAUCUUGUUAGUCACCUCUGCAAUAAUGCAAAGGCUUGGUGUCUAAAUUUCACGCAAUAACAUAUCGCUUUACAAAGCGCAUUAUAAUUUAUAACUUGUGGGGAUUCCACAAUCUUUAAAUAUUAGCCAUACAACAUAUCAGUGGAAUAAAGUAUAUAACAGCAUUAUGUCACACUUCCUUUCACUUUUCCCUUCAUUGGUUUCUUAGUAUAAAAGAGUCUGCUUGGCGUGAACACGGAAAUUAAUUUGGUGUAAGAUCAUUUGCUCUUUAUCCUUUGUCCAUGUCUUAUUUUGCUCUUCUAAUGAUUUAUGAUUUAUGAUUAACAUAGCUCCAAUUUUGGCAUUUUUUUUUUAUGCCUGCAAUACUUAUCCAGAGCCCUAUACCCAUCAAAUUGUUGGUUUUUUUUUUUUUAAAAAAAAAUUAGCAUCAUUUACUUCGCCUACUUACAACGCUAAAUUGGUUCAAAAAAAUUUAUUCCUAACGGGUACAUAUCACGCUUCAUGUCUCUUGCAUGUGGGCCCCACCUCUGUAGUUCAUAUAACCGGUACAUCGAAGACAGGGAGCGUAUUAGCCGUCCAAAUUUUUGGAUUUGAAUAAACGGACGGUUGAGAUCAUUCUUACAGGAACCUUGUGUGGUGUAUAAGCAACUAGCUGUUGGGGCUGGAGAGAGAGAAGAGGGAGGGGGGGGGGGGAUNGGGGGGGAUCGAUUUGUCUUGAUUCACCUUCUCUUCUUCGUCUCGAAUCCUUGGAGAAGCGCUUCUGAUUUGGGCUUCUCGCCCCCGCAAAUUGCCCGAAAAAGCGCUUUUAGAUCUCUUUCCAGCUCGAGAUUUGGGCGAUUUCUAGGUUUAGGGCUUCGGACGAGGAGCCGAUCGCGCCAUGGGGCAAGCCUUUAGGAAGCUCUUCGACACCUUCUUCGGCAACAAAGAAAUGAGGGUUUGCGCUCUAUUUCCCCACUUUCUUGCUCUUUGAUUGGGCUUUUCUUUAUCUCGAUGUGUUGUUGGAAGCUGGUUUAGAUCGAUUUGUUAUUCUAUUUGCUUCGAUUUGGAUGCUAUGUUAGUUUAUUGGUGGUUUGAUUCAUCUUGUUCAUGAUCUGGGGAUAGGAAUCGUUUUGAGUAGUUAAAGAGCCGUGAUGAAGGAUUGAGCUGAUUGAUAUAGAUGGAUUAUUUGUUUUUUUUUUUUGGUAGCGAAAGGAACAUAUUGGUAGAAAAAUGAUUGGGGCCGUGGGAAAUUGUGCCCACAUCUGAAGAAUAGUUACACCAAUUCAGGCUUCGGCGGGUUCUUUAAAUGAGAAGGUUGCUGGAUCCGGAAAAUUUGUUCUAAAAGUUUUGUGGGGAUAUAACAUGUGUGAGUAAAGGCAUCAGGACUAGAUAAGGUAGAACAUAAGUAUAACAAUGGGAGGAAAACAAGGACGAUUCUUACAUGAGAUUAGAUGGGAUUUAGGAGAGGACGGGCCGUAAGAACCUUUAACAUGAAGUAACAAGAGAAGAAUAAAGUGUAUAUCAUAAUUUGACCUUUGAAGAUCCGAUACUGGAUUUGGUUCAAGAAGUUAAAGGAGAAGAGCUUUUAUUGCGGAUAUGGCAAUCGUUGGUGUUGACUUAGUUGGUUUUUUUUCAUAAACAAGGACCGUUACAACAUAGCAGAACGAAUACAACUGUUGUGGCUAAUGAAUUGUAACACCUGUAAUUGCUCAUUAUCUUAGUAGAUUUCAUGGAAAGCCAUAAAAGGAAUGUUGCAUAUAUUUCUUUUAACAUUUAAAAUGAUCAUGGUCUUGGCUUUUUACUGGUUCUUAUGCCUGAUUAUCAUAUGGCUGCAUAAAAAUGCAAAUCAAGUACUUUAGCAGUUUACCUGGUGAUUUCACACUCUUACUGCAAUUAUUAAGUUAUUGUCGUACUUGAUUUCUGUGGAUUAUCUCAUGCUACAGGUAAUUAAUAGUUGCUCUUGCUGCCAUUGGAAUUUAGUUUUGUGAUUCUUGUGGCAUGCAUUCCUGUUAUAUUUGUUAUUUAGUUGGUUAAUUUGUUUCUCGUUAAUAAAUGUUUUUGCAACAAUCUCUGCUAUUUGUUAUAUCUAGCUAUGUUUCAUUCAUGAAAAUAACCUCUUGAAUGUUUUCGGACAAUGCUCCUUAGGUUGUCAUGCUUGGGCUGGAUGCUGCUGGUAAAACUACUAUUCUGUACAAGCUGCACAUUGGAGAAGUACUAUCAACUGUUCCAACAAUUGGUACGUAUUAUGUUAUUAGCAUGAAAUUUUGGUAUGUAUUAACUGCAUACAUUGCAUGUCAUAUAACAUUUGUUUACUAGUGUAUCUUCUGCACCUGCUAUGCUUCAUGACACGUAUGUGGUAUUUUAGAUGUUCUAUAAAGUCAACAUUUUUCAUCUAGUACUGACUUGCCACCAGAACACAAGGAUCAAUAGUGGCUCUAGCCAUUGAUACCAAAUGCGUAUCGGCUCUUUCAUUUCAGGACUUGGGAAUUGAAAAUCUCUCUUUCAUUUCAGGAGUUGAGAAUUGAAAAUUCAUUAUGAAAUUGACAGUAUUUUAUAUCUAUUAGCAACUACUUGUCCAAUCAAGCAUGAUAAAGAAGCAGCUCUUUCCUUCAUGCCUUGCAGAUCUUUAUAUUUUAGUUGUUUACAUGUCAUUGUGGCGUGAGGUUAUCAUUUCUGUUUCUUAAUACACUAUCAAACAUCCAAAUUGUUUGCUUUUACGAGCUGUGAAACUUAGUUUUGUAUGUUGCGCUCACAAGAUCCUCUUAUUUAUUUGUUUUGUUGCCUGGUUAGGGAAUUUGAAAUCUGAUGCACUGCUUUAUUCUUUUCCUUUGUUCAAUCCAUGCAGGUUUCAACGUUGAGAAAGUUCAGUAUAAAAAUGUGAUGUUCACAGUGUGGGAUGUUGGCGGGCAAGAGAAACUGAGGCCCUUGUGGAGGCAUUAUUUUAAUAAUACCGAUGGCCUGGUGUGUAAUAAAUGCUAGUACAGAAAAGCACAUACCUGCAUGCACGCACGUUUUCAUUCGGAAAAAUCAAUUGAAACCUCGAGUCUUGGAUAGCGGACUGCCUUACAUGGUUUAUAGUAUCCUUUUUGUUUUUUUGGUCCUUUGCAAUAUUAAUUAUAAUGAUUAUUUUUUAUCCUUUGCUCUUAUGAGUUACAAUCCUUUAGUUUGAGGCUCUUAGCAAUGCACAUCUGUAACCACCCACGCUAGUCUUAAAAUUGAAAUCACUAGCCUCAUGGAGAUUCUCUUUAUUAGUCAUAAUAAACCACUGUGCAGUGAUUAUUCAUUAUUGAGAGCUUUCUAUAGGAAAUUAUGUUUUGAUUAUAAGGUUUGUAUGGUUUGCAUGCUCUGUUCUAAAUGUGUCAAUUAACUCUGAUAAAAAAGCAGAAGGUGAAUUAGAAAAGGGUGGGGGAGAGGUCUGGGGAGUCAGUAUCUCUAUCUCCUUAUUCUUUUAGUUAGAAUACAGGAGUCUUUGACAUGGCAACUACAGUAUUAUUUUGAAUUUGCUGGACAUUCUUUUUCCUAAUUCAUGCUUCUUCCCUUUGAUUGGUGGCUAUCCUACCCAUGUUGAUAUAUAAUUAUGUCAGGAAAAAUUGCAUUGUAGAAGGCAUAUUUGGUGAAGAAUAAUGAAAUAAUUUGGUGUAUUCUUCUCACUUGCAGAUAUACGUUGUUGAUUCGUUGGACAGGGAAAGAAUUGGAAAGGCCAAAGCUGAGUUUCAGGCCAUAAUCAAUGACCCAUUCAUGCUUAACAGUGUGAUAUUGGUGUUCGCGAAUAAACAGGACAUGGUAUGAUAUGUUGUCUUUUUCGGUAGUCUGAGCAUGCUGGUUAAAUAUAAUUCUGAACCAUUCUCUCGUGGGCAAAUGUAAUGCUUCUUCCUUAAAUUCUGGUUUUAUUUUUACUUUGUUCACAUAAGCUAAAUUUCGUAAUUUUUUGUUUUUGUUCUCUUCAAAAAGAUAAAACAUCCAUUCUGCACUGAAAUUUUUUAUUAUUCAGUUCUAUUUUUGAGGCAGUGGACAUGUUUACAUAUAACAUUAGUUCGAUACAGUGAAAUCUUGCUCGAACUCCAUGCUGGCAAGUCCACAUUGUCUGUGAGGCCUACCCCAAGUCUAGUGACAACGAUUGAUAAUAUGAUCAAACCAUGAUCACUAAGAUCUCUAUAAAUUGUUAUGUAAGUUGAAGUUUCAGACUAACUAUCAAACUUUUCUAUUCAGAAAGGCGCGAUGACCCCUAUGGAAGUAUGCGAGGGUCUAGGGCUUUAUGACUUGAGGAACCGCAUCUGGCACAUCCAAGGAACUUGUGCCCUUAAAGGUGAUGGUCUCUAUGAGGGCUUGGACUGGCUUGCAACCACUCUGAAGGAACUUCAAGCCUCAGGCCGCUCCACCUCGGUCGGAACGUCAUCUUACUGACUUUUAAGAGGUUCAUCCAAACGUCCUCAAAUUUUGCUUGAAUUUUCCCGGUUGUUUAGCUUGCAUUAACCUUUUUUUUUUUUUCCCCCAUAAUACGGUUCAGGUCUCCACAGAAUGAGUUGAUUUUCGCACGAGUAAAGCUGAAUGUAUUCGACCAGUUCAUAGUGCAGUUGUUUUAUGAUUUUCUCUGGUGUUAGCUUUGAAUUUGGUCAGAUUACAUUUGAUUUAGAAGCUAUCAUUAAGUAAUCUGCUUGUCUGUAAUCUUCUGCCCCUGAUAAAAUGAAAAAUUUAAUGCUGGGGCAUCACAUACUUCAGUGUAAAUUCUGCGACUCUUUCUGGGAAACGACACUUUUGAUAAUUUUCAUGCUUAAUCAAUGACAAUAGCAAAUGGAAAACAGGGAGAAUUUGCGAUUUCCGGGAAAAAAAAAAGUGGGAACGCUUUUAAUUGCAGUUCCUCCUAUGAGUGAAGGUUCCCUCUAUAUAGUGGGAACAGAGUUCAUGUUGUACACGUUGUGAUCCUUGCAUGUUGGUGAGUUCUCACAAAUGCAAUAAUUCCUAGUUUAUACGACCUUUUUGUUAUUGUUUUGUUUGUAAGCUUCAGCAGAAUUUCCAACAUCCGUAUUACUGAAACACAUUGUCUCAAAGACCAGUUGGCUUCCAGAAUUCUCUGGAUGAAAUGGAUUAUCAUUUCCUUCAACUUGCUAUCUCCCUGUAUAAUUAUACUACUUUGAAUUUAAGAUUAAAUUGGUCCCUGGAAUUUGGUUUUUUUAUUUUAUUUAUUUCCUUUGGUAUUUUAUGUUUUAAUUAUUUCGUAUGUCAUUACCAUAGUGAGUAAAAUGCAAUUUAACUAAGUAAAGAAGAGUCGCUGGUUGGUACUAACAUAAAAUUAUGGAUGAAAUAGGAAAGAAAAACACUAGGGACAAGCUUAAACAUGACUAAACCUGCGCGGCGAUAUCUACAAAACCACAUUCUAACAUGAUCUCCUCUCAGGAUGAUUCAAUUCCCCAUUUCUCAUACCGGCUAAAAUAAAUUCCAGAUUGCUUAUUUAAGUUGGUUGCAAAAUAGCAAUCAGUAGAUGUUCAAAGAAGAAAAAACUAUCCCCUUCAGGUGUAGAAUUUUGAAGGUUAGAUCACUGUAAUAAGGAGGAUCUCAACAAGAAAACAAGCUCAGAUGACUAGUCAUUUUCAAAAAUAUUGCUGUAAAAAUUUAACCUAAGACUACUUAGAACCGUUACUUUAUUCGUCCUUUAAAUUAAAAAGAAAUCGAGAACGCCUCAGAGGCGAAUUACGCACCGCGAAGGGCAUGUGCGUAAUGAUGAGCCAUCAAAAGGGCGAUAAAAUGGAGCCCGAUACAUCACUUACCCUCCAUUCCUAAUCGUGCGGCUCACAAUCGCUUCCUCAGGUUAGGGCAAUUUGCGCGGACGUGGGUGGCUUGGGCGAUACGCCGAGCUCAGGACAACGGUCAUAUUUUUCGAAAUUUUCAAUGGGAGCUUGAUCUCCAACGGUCACAUAUUUCGAAUUAGCCCCAUCAAUCUCUCUCUAUAUAUAUCCCUCGCCACUCUCCCAAUCCCCAGUCGAAAACCCACAUUCCCCGUCUCCUCCCUCAUCACCUCUUCGAAGAGAAGCUCUCCCCCCAGAAUCCAAUCCAAUCCAAUCGCAUCGAAGAGAGACGAUGGAUUUCCACACCCUCCCUCGUAGAGAUCUCCAGUUCCUCUGCAAGAAGAACAAGAUCCCCGCCAACAUGACCAACGUCGCCAUGGCCGACGCCCUCGAAGCUCUCCAAACCGUAAGGAAUCGCUCUCCUCUUCUUCUAUUACCAUUUCGAUUUCUUCUGAUCCUAAUUAGGGUUUCUUGUCGAUUCCGACCCUAAAUCAGGUUGAAGGGAUAGACGAGAUACUAAACGACGCAUCGAAGUUGGAGUCGCCCAAGAAAGCGGAGGCCGGUUCGCCGGAGCUGCCGCGCACCGCCUCGCGAAGGGCCUCAGCCCGCAGAGCACCGGCUGCGGAGGAGCCGAAGGGGACGCAGGGGAGUCCCCUGCCACGGUCUCGCCGAGUGACUGCGAAAGCCUUGGAGAUCCUGCAGCUGGUCGACGGCGAUGGGGUGGAAGACGAGGGGAAGCAAGAAGGGAAGAAGGAGAUGCCCAAAACGCCGGCUGCGGCUCUUCGUAGCAGCCGUAAGCCGCAAGGGACGGCCGGGAGAAGAGCCGCUAAGAAAGGCGAGAGCGGAGCUGAGGAGAUAGUAGGUGAGACUCCGGCGGCGGCGGCGGCGCCCGGUGCAAGAACUACGAGGAGAAGGACGAGCAAGAAAGAAGAAGAAGAGGGCGUCCACGAAGCUGCUGUCGAAGUCCCCCUCCCGACUCCGGCCACUCGCGGCGGGCGGAGGACGGCUGCUCGAAAGGCCGCCGCAGCGGAAGAAGAUGAGAAGGAAGAGGAAGCGGCGGCGGCGGCGGCGGCAUCCCGGACUACUGCACGGAGAACGAGGCAGACUGCGAGGAAGGCGAUGGAGAGUGCUGCGGCAUCUACUGCAGGAAGAAGGGUGACGAGAGCCAUGGCCGCAGCCAAGAUGGCGGAGUUGGAUCAGGAAGAAGAAGAAGAUAAUGAUCGGGUUACGGAAGGUGAGUGAUCCUAAUUGCCCUGAUGAUCUUCUCGUUUGGCUCUCUUUUUUUUUUUUUUUCUUGGUUUUGUUCUGAUUGCUGAUCAACGGUGGGCGACAUCGCAGGAAUUGAUGGUCCGAAGAAUGGUUCUCCUCAGGCUUCUGAUGAGAAAUCUGAUUCACUGAAGAACAUGGAAGUCUCGGACUCGAAGGGGGAUUUGGUAGAAAAGAUGGACGGAUGUGAAGGAGUUGAAAACGAAUGCAACGAGGAAGUGGGUGAACAAAAGCGGGAUCCCUUUUCUGGUUUGGAAGAUUCGCCGAUCAGAGGGCUCGUAUCUGAGGUGGAUCCUCUGAGUCUCUGUGAUGAGAUUGUCGAAAAGAGUCAGGAAAGUUCUAUCACAGAUCUAAUACCAGUGGAUUCUCAUCCGAUGGAGGAGAGGAAUGGAGGAGAUGCUCCGGACGGCAAAGAAGAAGGCAGAAGUGGCGAAGCUCUCAGCGGAGCUCUGAACGACGAUCUGAUUCUGUUGGAUUCUUCUAAACAGCUGGGAGGAAAUAAUCCGGAUGGAGAAGAAGAAGAAGAAGAAAGCAGAGAUGGCGAAGUUCUUAACCUCCCUCUCCAAGAUUCAGCUGAAUCGGAGACGAUCAAUGAUUCUAACCCUGAGAUCAAUCUAUUACCUGCAAACGAAAGCCCUGCCGAGAAGAAGGUUCUGGAGGACACAGAAGGGCUUUUGGAGAUCUCGUCUAUCUCUGGAGAGGUCCUGCCAAAGACGGCAGCAGAGUUGAGCGUCGCAAUGGAUGAUACCAGUUCUGCUGCAGAUCCCACCAGAUCUCCAGCCAAGGAGGAGGGCAUGUCGGAGGAGCUCAUCAACUCUUCAGUUAAAUCCUCACCUCUGGUCGGAGAUCCGACGGGAGAAAUCAUCAACUCCGUCACCGCAUCCCUCACGAAUAUUUCCAUAGAUACUGGAGAUCUGGUCGAGAACACAUCUGAUUCUGGCCUUGUUUUCGAAGCUCCAGAGGCUCAUCCGCUGGAUUCCAGUGAUUGUAGUAGUGUUGAAACCACCGUUGGAAUCACGUUGCCGGUGGAGGAAGUAGUGGAAGAAAAGAGCGCAGGGAAGGUGAGGGUGUCACUUGCAAUUUAUGAGGAGAAAACCAAUGCAGCUGAGAAUAAAGUCGCCGACUCGUUGGCCAUGGCGGCAGCCGAGAGCGGAGAAGUAGAGGGCCAAUUUAACCUGCUGCCAAAGGCUGUAGACCUGCACUCUUUAAGCCUGGGAAAGCUGCGAACUAUGUACAAGGAGAAGCUCAUAAAUGUGAACAACAACACUAAGGUAUAUAGUCAAUAAGUUACUAAUGCACCUUCCUCUCUCUUUUAAAUUUUAAAAUAUGAGUAGGUUAGCUAAUAUUAUUGUUCUAAUGUGGGUGUUUGAACUCCUAUGCUUGAUAGGUGAUGGAAGGGAAGAGGUUAGCUCUCGCAGAAUUGAAUGAGAACCUCCUAUCAUAAUUGAUGAUGAUGGUGAGAUAAAACAUGCUACUAGUACAAUGAAUGCGUGUGAGAUCAAAUAAGAGUUGGAUCCUACUCUUUUUUGGUGAGUUUUGCAUGUUUGGUUUUGAAUAUAUGAAUUUGGGUUGUGAAACCAUGGUUUCUCCAACCCCCUUUAUGGUCUUGUUUCUGGAAUUCCGGUAUUAUUGUCUGGAGAAGUAAUAAUGGAACUAUUUUUGUUAUAGUUUCUGUUUAGUCAGAUCGUUCGUCUGUAAUUGGUUGCGAUCGAACUAAAAAUGAGAUUUUCAGUAUUGUCAACAUUUUUUUUUUUCAAUUUGAAUGAAACUCGUCUGUUUGUUUCUACAUAUUCAUUUAGUUGCAUUCAUCUCCACGGAAUGCUUCAAGGUUUGAAUCUAUAUCUGGAGAUGUAAUAAUAAAAAUAUAUUUGUUGACGUAAAUUCUUCACACAAUUUUGAAGCUUAUUGGUGUAUCAACAUAUUUUCGACUGCUCCAUUGUUAUAAUAUUGGAUAGCUGAAACAUAGGAAUGUUCCUGUGAUUUAAGGGAAUGAACUAUGUUUCCUGCCUAGUUCUUUUAUGCUUUACGUUUUCCACAUGCAGAAGCGGAUAUAGAAAACCCUUCUAUGCUUUACUUUGUCCACAUGCAGAAGCGGAUAUAGAAAACCCUUGCAGUACUUUGUUGGUUCCAUUAAUCCAGGGAUGUGGAAAAUAAUCUUAUUUCCUAAAUUCAUUAGCGGGGACAUGAUCAAAAUCAAAUCAAAUAAUACAUUCUAGGAAUAGAUUAAAGAGGCAUUACAAAUGAUUAUUGCAGCUGCAAUUUGUACUGCUAAUGUGCAGAAGAGAAGGGGGCAUAUAAUUUCAGUGUAGUAACAGAUUAGAUGGCAAAUAUUGUGGGAGUUUGCAAGUUUAAUACGAUACUAUAGCUAUUAAAUUUUUUUUCUUUCUCUGUCAUCCAUUGUUCUGUAAGAUGAAAUUGCAGCUUGGCCUCCCAUGUUUACUGCUUUAAGUAAUUAACAUUUUUCAAGGUCUCAGAACACUGCAUUUUGCUAAAAUUCAUAAAGAAACUGAAAUUCCGGAGCAAAAUUUGCAUAAAUACUUAUCUUCUGCUCAUUUCAAUCAACUGAAUUGGUAUGUUAUUUUAGUACCACUGAGCUAAAAAGCCUUGAGUAGAUUUGUUACACUAGUUAUUUUCUUAAGAAACUGGUUUGCUUAUAUACAUCCUACAACUGCUAUUUUUCACCUCCACUUUUCGGGCAAACAUUACAAAUUUCUUUUCUGUCAUGAUCGUCGAAAUCUUUUGUUAUUAUUUUUACCAUUUUAACUUUGUUGAUCAAGCCUGCCUUGUUGAUCUAACCUUCUUCGUCCCUUAAUAUAAGGAAACUCUAAAAAUACAGCUGCAUCAGCAAGUGGUUUAUCCUCCCAAAAUCUAGUAGAAAAAUCUUGUCUAUGCUUUCGCCAAAGAAUCAGCAUAUGUACACUUUUCUCUAACACCUAGCUCUCGUUUCUGCGAUCAUUUGGGCGCGCAUGUUAGCCUCGUCUAUCUCAAUCCUUGCAAUAGCAUUGCAUAGAGGAGCUCAUUCCAUGCGUCGGGGACUCCAGGUAGGCACCAGUGGCUGCAGUCCUGGAUGGUUUCCGGGCUCCUCCGUCCUGCAGGCACCCGAUACACUGACGGGUGCCCAUCUUUCCUGUAGUCCGUCAUCCUUGUCACGUUGAGGUAGAGGACGGGUGUCCUCAUCUCCGCGAGCACAGACUCAAGAAUGGAUAUUAAGACUAGGUACCUCUUGGCUAGGUGCUUGUCGUCGGUGAUCGGGACCGUCUCCCCAUCACAGUUUCCUCCAGAAUUCCACUGCCCGCCACUGCAGAAAAGAAAUGGCAGCUAAAGUAAUAGUAGGAGAUGACUAAAUCGCACUUACAAACUUUAAGCAUUUCAUCGGGAUGAACUCGGGUCUAAGGGCCAAAAAGAAAUUCAUCCAUCUACACUGCAACAUUCUUCACCCUUCUGUUACUUAGAUUAGAUAGAUAAAAAGCCAGUUGGUUACCUGAAGUGACUCCAGGCGUAUCCGCGGAAGAAGACCCGCGUGCGGAGCGGGUCGAUGUGCUCGUCGACCCAUUUGGCCCAUGUGGUCAUAGCCUUGCGAUAGGCAUCCCCUGAACUCAGUCGAGGGUGCACAUAAUCACCUUCCUGAUAGUAGUUGAUUCUGCCGAGGAAUAAAAUAAAAUCCACUUUCUUAGUAUUAUCCCUAAUUAUUCUGCUACUGGAUCAAAUCAACCUAAGUUGCUCUUAAUGGAAUAAAUUGUAUGUAACUAUUUUAGACACCAAUUUGAUCUUCUAACCAUUCCAAGCAUGCUGCCAAAAAAAAUUAGCUUAAAAUGCUUGAGUUUCCUUGUCCUGCUUUUCAUUUUAUAGAUCACUUAUUAAGGUAUAACAAAUAUAACAUGACUUUUCUGAAAACAACAAAAGAAAAAGAAAACAAAUAUAACAUGAAUUACUCAGAAUAGCAAAGAAAGACUAUUUUUUGAGUGCUUUGCCCCAUCAAGACCAUCUAUCAUUAUAUCUUUUGAUUUUUUUUUUUGAAGAAAAGAAAAGAUAUUGCAGAUAAAUGAAGAGUUCAUGUAUUACCCUUUAGAGGUCUUCUCAUGUGUCCACCAGUGCCCCGAGUUGAAUAUUAUCACAUCAGCAUCUUUAUACCUUGUCGAUGCGCGAUCGAUCAUAUCGAGUCGGAGAGUCUCCUUCACUUUUCCUUUAGAAUCCCAUGGUUGCACAAGGAACGGCGACCAGGAGAACUCGACCGAACAGUUAUAAUCCUAUCCUUCAAAAGAAAACCCCCCCAAAAAAAAAGAAAGAAAAAAUUACUAUGCCAAAAACCAAUUUGAGCAAUCAUUUUAACAGCUGCAGUAAUCUACGAAACCUUACGAUGAAUCGAAAAGAAUAGGAACUCCUGGCUUUGAAGUCCUGCUUCCCGGAGGCCUCGAACACGCGAUCUUUGUCCUGCAAGGAGUGCCUCAACAUGCAGAGCAGUGAUUCCCACAUGUUGCGGUUCAGCGAAUCCCCGACGAAUACCAUCCUUUUCCCCCUCAACAUUUCCAGCAUUUUCUUCCCUUCUAGCCUGAUCAAAUCGAGCGACUAAUUCAGAAACCAUAAUUCAAAUCACAGCAGGGCAAAUGCAGAGUAAAUAAGAACUGGACAAAAAGAAGAAAUGAACUGCCUUUUUGGUGUAAAAUGAUCAGAGAGCGAAAAACCAAGUUCAAGAACAUAAAAAAAAGGCACAUUUUUGAGCAAAAGAGAAUAGACAAGGUGAUGAUGGUAUGUCAGGAGAUUGAAGGAACCUCGGCGCGGUGCAAUGCGUGGGCUGCCACCGCAGCUUGGUGUAGUUGAGAUCGCGCCGUCCGUUGCGGAAGCAGUUGAAUCCGCUGUCGACGAACGGGCACGAUCCGGCGGGGUAACUGGGGCUGGACUCGUCGUAGACCCAUCUCCCAUCAAAGAGAUUGCACCCUUCAACGCCUCUCUUCUUGCUUGAACCAGAACCAGAACCAGAACCAGAACCAGAUGCUUGGUAAGUAUUAGAAGCAGAGGAGGUGUGGUUCUUGGAAGGGGUGGGGUUGAAGAGGAGAGAGGUCAACUGGGGUCUACGGCCAUUGACGAUGAGGAAGAAGAGGAGGAGGAGGAAGAAGAGGGAGAAGGAGGUGGCGAUGAAGGGAGGGAGGUGAAACCAGUCCUUGGAAGAGGCCAUGAAUGUAGCAACUAUGAUUAUGAUUAUUAUGAAGAGCGCGAGCUCUAGAGAGAGAGAGAGAGAUUUGAGUUUCUGAGUUUGCGUUUGUUGUUGUUGAUUAUUUUUUUUUUUUUUCUGUGGAUUUUUGAGUUUGAUUAGGAUGAGAGAGAAAGAGAGAGAGAGGGAGGGAUUAUAGGCUGUUGGAGUCCUCGUGCGAUGUUGGUUUGUUUACGGUUACCAGAGUUGUAACUUACGAGGCCACCUUCGAUGCUGCAUAUGAGGUAAUGACUUUAUGAUCACAAGAGUGGGAAAGUUUUAAUUUGGAUUAUAUUAUAUACUGUUUGGGGUUGCAUUUUAAUUAAUCGGCCAACAUCAUGCCAAACUAGACUCUUUAUUCUAAGUUUUGCACCCUAAUUAAUUUAACAAUACUGUAGAUUUGGAUUAUACAAGUGGAAGGAACGAAUGAAGCAUGUUUUUUUUUUUUUAAAAAAAAAUCUUGCAUAAAGGAGGAAUUUUAUUUAUUUAUUUAUUUAUUUUUUAAAAAAAAUUAUUUUGCGUAGAGAGAUGGGUUGAGAUGAUUAUGAUUAUUCUCAUUCAGUUGAGAAAAUUUUGAAACGUAUAAUAAGCCCAAUAAAUAGAACUAUCGAUUUGUUCAGAUAUUAUAUUCAAAUUUUGAAAGUUCCGAACCUACCCAUCAUAGUUUGUCCGGUAAAAUCACCACUUUAAUUAGGUAGCCUUGCUUGUGGAAAUUAAUUAAAGGAUUACUAUACUCCAAAAUUGUGGCAAUUGAAGGAAUUUUAGGUGCUCCCCAUUGGCUUUAUUUUUUAGAAAAAGUAAAUUUGCAUUGCUAUAGUAAGUUUAUUUGCGAGCAAAUUUUAUACCAUAAUAUUCCUUUAUAGUGAAUCUUAUCUUGGUAAGCAAGCAAGAAUACCUAAUUAACUCUCCAGUGAUUGGUAAAAUGAAAACAAAAAAAAGGAAAAGGAAACAUACGGAUUUUUCAUCGACGAGUUAUCAUUUGAUCCCUCCCCAUUUUUUUUUUCUUUCCAACUCAAACGGAUUGUUCCUAAAUUCGAUUUCCUGCGUCAACAAUGCAAGAGAUUGAGGGAAUAGACGAGUACAAAAGUUCAAGCACUAACCUGUUUAAGCGGAAGGAAAGGACCAGAUCACAAUUCGUCAAAAGUUUGGGACUGCAUGAGCAUUUUACCCUAGUCUCUAUCGGCUAAAACAUUGCAGAGAUAAGAACCAAGAGAAUCAGCAAGAACCAGCUAUUAUGUUUAUCAGUUUAUGCCGGCUUGGAUCAUAUAAUAUCCUCAUUCUACAUAUUAAGAUUGUACCUGCUUUGGAUAGUGUGAAGCAAGAUCAUCAUUAUUCAUUUGUCAUUGUGAAAAGAUGAAACUUCCUAGAAGCAUAUGUAACCAAAGUGCCAAGAAGUAUCAGAAAAGGCCAAAAAGGAAAAAAAUAAUGAGAUCACUAAUUGAUACCCCAUUGUGGAUUACUUUUCUACAACAUAAAAAAUCCCAUAUUUUUAUAUGACACAUCUAAUUAUAACAAGCAAAUACAAUCAGAUCUUCCACUUUUACCAUUUCAUACACUCCUGUCAUUUUUCUAUUUCCAUGAACAAAUACAACAGCAGCCUCCACAUAAUGCAAGCCUUUAAACCACUAUAAUAUUCGGCCCAAAACUCACUAAGAUUAUGGAGAAUGUUGGGUUAUAGACAUAUGUAAUUACUGAUGGCCUCGAACAGUAUUUAUGGGGGAAAGAUACAUAAAAUGGUGCACAAAAUUUGUAGGGAAAUCUCUUCACCAGAAAAGAUAGAGAAGGGCAUAAAAAUGCUUUCUACAAGUGUUCUGUCAAUUCUUCAAUUAACAAAAUCAGCAACAACUCAAGGAAAGAACAUCUCCACUUGCAGUCAAACAUUAACUGCCAUUUAUGGGUUUCUAUUAAAAAGAAGGAUAAAAAAUUACUAUCAACAAGUUCAAUAUGUUGUUUAAUCUGUUCUUAUUCUCAUUCAAAAUUCAAGAUAAAAUGAAAUUUGAUUUGCACCAAAUGCAGCAGUUUGUUGUUUCCGCUUCGACCUAACACAAAACUAUAAACAUUCAAGUUUGGAGAACUCUUAACUAAAACCAUACCAUCAAUCUUCAUCACAAAUACUGACAUACACAUUUCGAGGUUUACUGUUGCAUUUCAACCGGUCAUUGCCAUAUAGAAAGGCACAGUAACGAAAGAUCUUGAAGCAUCAAUUCUGACAAGAUUUUACAAAGAAAUAGACCAUAUAUUAAAACUUCCAAAAUGUUAAUUUAAAUAAUUCAGAAAUAAUACCAGAUAUAUGAACGUGAAUAGAAUCAAGGUAAUCUAUCUAUGUGCAAUAUAUAGUCGUCUUCUCUUCCCUCCUCUCUCUCUCUCUCAUAUCUUAUAAGAUAUCUCCCCUCUCUCUCUCUCUUUAUCAUAUCUCAUAAGAUCUCUCUCUCUCCCUUCCCCUCUCUCUCUUUAUCAUAUCUUAUAAGAUCUCUCUCUCUCUCUCCUCUCCUCUCUCUCUCUCUUCUCUCUCUCUCUCUCUCUCUCUCUUAGAUUUUUCUAUCAUUCCAUAUCUCUCUCUAUUCUCCCUCCUCUCAUUCUCUCUCCCUUCCCCUCCCUUUCUAUCAUAUCUUAUAAGAUCUCUCUCUCCCCCCUUUCUCUCUCUCCUAGGCAAUUAUUACUCUAACUCCCACAACUCUCUCUCUCUCUCUCUCUCUCUCUCUCUCAGAUCUUGCAACAAAAUUUUAGAUUUUUCUAUGAUGCAAGGAAAACAUCUCAUUUCACGAUUUCAUGCUCAUAGUAAAUGCACGUGGACCAACUCACUAACUUAACUAUUUAUCUUAAGACAAAUCAGCAGAACUCAGUUGUCAAAUUGAGACAAAUAGCAGACAGAGUUCAUCUUAUAGUGUAAAGAUACUCGUCACAAACGCAUCUCCAAAGAAAAAAAAAAAAAUCAGUAAUGUGGAAUCACCAAGAGUUUCAAUAAAGAUAGACUACUGUAAAGCAGACAUGAAAGUACAUUUUGUUACACCAAAUGAGCAUUUAAGUUAUAGAAACUUAUCAUCAGCAAAUAUAAUCUUCUAUCAUGGCUGUUGAAGGUUUCUCCUAUAUAUACGCUCCCACCACCAAUAUGUCAAAUCGAAAAAGUAAAAAAAAGGGAAAGGAUAGACUGACCCAUCACUAUGCAACAAGAUAAAAUGAUAAAACAAAACCAAACAUACAGUCUAAUAUAUAUGACCCAACACUUGCGCAUAACAAAAGCAAAAAUAAGACAUGAAAUUAUUUAACUAAGCUUACUAAAAGAUGAACUUCAGUUCAGCCUUCGUCUCUUACAUGCAUGAAGAGCCCCUCCAUCAACAUCGAGAGAACCGGAAGUGCCGCUUCUUCCCCUCCUUCUGUGGGCCCUAGAAGACCCAGCACUGUUAGGUUCAGAUGGAUUAUCAGAAAUAGUAACCUCUCCUUGUAUUGUAGCCAUGGUGCUCGAAGCAGAGACCUGAUCCGCCCCCAAUGCUGCACCCACAUCAUGCGCAGCAGCAGGAGGCUCAGAAUUUGGCGGAUUAGCAGAUGAGGUGGACGCUCCAUAACGGUUACUAAUACUUGCGAAUUGCCCCACCACCCUACCAAGAUCAGCAGUUAUCGCAGCUAAUCUUUCUGUAUUAGCAAUACCAUAGAGUGAAAAGCGUUGCCACAGAUCAAUUCCAUCUCGGAAAAGUGAGCUCGAUGUACUCCCAACAGGGUUUAAUGCACUGUUACCAGGGGGCAGUCCAAUGUCACCAUUGACAGACCCACUGAUAGACCCACUGUUACGAUUCACCUCUUCCCUUAGCAAUGUCCUUGCUCUUAGCCUAGUUAUAGCUCGGCGAUGGGCGCCAUCAAGUAUUUCCUGCAGGGCAGGGUCCGCUUGCCCUUCGAGCCUACCACUCCCAUAACGCAUCUGAUGGUCUAAAAGCCGUCUCCAUGAAGAUGCAAUCCCUUCUCCCAAUCUCCUUGAAAUAGGCCUAAACUGUUGCCUCAAGCUCUCCACCCUAUUUCCACGUGGCCUUGGCGGUAUUUUCAGACCUGAUUCCCCUUCCCCUUUAAAUUUCUUCUCAGCACUAUUCUCUGAACUUCCUCUACCAUAAAUAGGAGUGAUUUUAGAUUCAGUAACUUCUCCUUUGCAAACUGGGCAUUCAUUAUGGUCAGAAUGAACGUGAAGCCAUUGAUACAAACAGGGCCAGCAAAAUAGAUGGCCGCACGAAGUAACAACAGGUUCAGUAGCCAUAUCCAAGCAGAUAUUACACUCAAAAUUAGCAGCACUUCUGUUCUUCUCUUCCGCUUCCUCUUCUGAAGCCUCCACUGCUAUGGAUUCAACAGAUACUUUGUCCUUCCUAGUACAUUCUACCGAUCCUUGCGGGCUCGAUACAUUCAUUAUUAACUGUUCAGUAGGAGUUGAAGGUGAGCCAAAGCUGGACCUUUCGCCAGCGAAUGAUACCGAAGACCUAAAUCGCCUAGACCGAGAUCGAUGGCUCGACUCAAUCAAUCUUCUGAAACGUAAUUCAGGUGAACGGUGGAGCUCGUUCCGAGAAGAGGACCCACUAUUCUCCCCCAAAAACUCCCCAGCGUGAAUAUGUGGAGCUGGGUAAAAGCUGAAAGCUACUUCAUCAGGGGUCGUUGGUGGGGGCGCAUAAUGUGGCGAGUACGUCGAUGUCGGAGGAACAUAAGGCGGUGAGUAAGGCAUGUGAGAGCUGCCGUCGAUGGCUAUGGGCUCGUCGGCAUUAGACUCGUCUAUCUCGUUAACAAUCGGUAGUUGGAUUGGAGCGUAUGAAGAAUUAUUGUAGGGUUCAUAGGAUGGAAAGUAUGGGGUGUACUCCGGACUAGGGGUGGGGUUCACAUUCAUGGCAGGUAGUGUAGGAGAGUAAGCUGAAUGGGAAGGGGAGUACGGUGGGUGGGGAUCCGACAGUUCUGACAUAACAGGCAUUUCAACAAGCGGUUGGCGGUCGUCGACAGCUGGCAUGGGUAAAGAGUUGAGAGAGAGGUCAGAGCCAAGAUCCGGUCGACGAGGGCGAGGAGAAUGAGGGAGACCCAGGUAGAGAUUCACAUCCAUUCUCCUGAUUCUGCUAUCAUUUCCCUCUUCUUCCAUUCCUGGAAAGAGAGAAUAGCCCACUUAUCCCCUCUGGCCCUCUUAGAAGCUUUAUUAAAGCUCACUCAUUUGCAAGGAAACAAAAGAAAAGAUUUUUUUUUUUAAAAAAAAACUAGUUUUAGUUUCCAUCUCACCAUGCGAGAAACCCCUCAAAUAGGGUUCAAAUAGGGGUCGGGGUUCGAAACCCUAGAUCAUUCCAAGGUCAAAAUUGACACUUUUCUCCCUUUUUUAUCCAUAAAAAUCCCUCUUUUACCGCAUGAAGAUGAAGAUUAGGGUUUCGUUACUCGGUGCGAAUCCAAGUUCCACGAAAAACGAAACCCUAGCGGGGAAGGAAACAAGGGUUAGGGGAUCAGCUCGAGUGCGAGCGAAAUCGGGAGCAGGCCUCGAGAAGAGGCGCGGAGUGGGAGGAAGAGGGCGAGAGAGGAGUGAGGGGAGGCGAUUGAGGGGAUCAUACCGGGGGUUUGCGGAAGAGGCGGCGGUGGCUUCGGAAUUUUGGGGUUUGUUUCUCUCAGGCUCAGCUCAGCUCCCACCGAGAAAGAGCCAGAAAGAGAGAGAGAGAGAGAGAGAGAGGUGUGGAUGGACCUAAGAAGCGAGCUCCGGAGGACUUAUAUAAAGCGCGAUGGCUGCCACAGUGCCACGGCUACACUAUUAUUAUUUUAAUAUAUAUAUAUAUAUAUAUAUAUAUAUAUAUAUAUAUAUUUUAAAAUAGUAUGCUGUUACUUUAUUUAUUUAAAAAAUAAAUUUAGCUAAAAAAGAAGCAUUCAUGGUCUCGCGGCACAAAGCGGAAGAGAGAAAAAAAAAAAGAAAAGAAGGAAGGGACACUAUUUUAUUUUUUAUUUUAUUUUUUUAUUUAAAAAAUCCUUUGGUCCCCCUCACAAGUCACAAUAUUUUUCUUUGAUUUAUUAGUUUGUAUACCUAACAUUUUUGAAGAGCAUGCAAAAUUUUUUACUCCAUAAUGCCAACGAAAUAAUCAUAUAUUAUACCAACAGUUUAAAAAUCUGCAACAAUACUUCUACAAUAACAUUGAGCUAAUAUUUGGAAUUGUGGAAUUAUGUGCUAGAUACAUAAAGUAGGGUACAAAAUUAUUUCAUUUGUUCUAGUAACAAAUAAUAUGUUACAUAGAUUUGCAGUGAGUUGGUUAAGAUACCAUCUAACGGUUUGAUCAAAAAAUAAAAUUGCAUACUUAUGCAUGCUUUCAUCUCAAUUUUUUUUUUUUAACCAUACAGACUCUUAAUAAAGCUUAAAAUUUUUUUAGAAAAAAAAAUUAUUAUUAUUAUUUUUAUUUUUAAUUUAGAGUUUCUGAAUCGAUAAUUAUCAGCAUUAUACAUAAAUUUAGAAUAGUCAAAUUUAAUAUGAAGCAAGUUUUAUAAUUUUAUAUUACUAUUUAUCUGUUGAUCAAGUAACCAAAAAAUACAAUUAUCAAGUUUAUUGCAGGGAGAUUGCGUUACGUGCGGUGAGAAAGUACGUUGAAAAAAUAGCAUAUUUGUUACCGUACGUAAUAUUGCGUUCCGCAUAUCGCGAUAAGUCGGUUACAAUAUAUUUUCUAUGGUCCAUCGGAGAACACAGAAGCAUACCUCUAUAUACUUUUUCCUCAACUCCAUUUUAUCUAAUAGCGUUAGAUAAAUCUCAAUACCAAACUAAGCCAUAAUCUCCUUGAGUACUAAUUAAUUAAAUAAUUACAAAAUUCACAAAAAUUCGGGCCUGGGCCCAGUUUCCGGCUCAAAAUUUUGAUUGAUUCAGGCAACAAUUGAUUCAUUGCUAGUCCUAAGCCCAGCUCAAAUUAACCGGAGUGGAUUAGAUCCGGCCCGGUAAACUAAUAGAAAAGUCCAGGCCCAAUAUGACUAUUUUGGGCUAUUAAAUUUGCGGGCCCGGUCUGGUUUCACGAACCGGUCCGAAACUUCGCUUAUUUAAUGGGCUAGGCUAACUGGGCCGAUUUUGGGGCACAACAGGACGUACUGCUAUAAAAGGGCCCUGGUUUAAACCCCAGAACCCUCGACGUCGUUGCCCCGCAAACCCUCGCCGCUUCCUCGAGCCGCCGAUGACCCAACGGCGGUCGCCGCCGCCGAAGCGCCGCCGCGUGUCGCGGCCGCGGCCCCUCCUCGGCUUCUCCCCCUUCGCUCGCUGCGUCCUCCUCUCCCGCGUCGCCUCCGCCUCCGCCUCCGCCUCGAAGCCCCCUCCGCGGACGCCGCCGUCCUCCUCUUCGUCCACCCCCCAUCGGCGAGGUAAACCCUAAUCUCCUUCUCGAUCUCGCUUCUUCUUCCUCGAUCCCGUCACUCACCUCUCCGAUCUCCGUUCUAGAGCCAAAAGAAGAAGGAAUCGGCAACCCUAAACCCCUAAAACCCACCAAACGAAUCGAAUCCUCCAGCGACGACGAAGACGACGAAGAAGAGGAGGAGCAGGAAGUGCGAAUCGUGCUUUGUUUUAUGGUAUUUAUACGCUUCUUGAUUCCGAUUUGAUGUUGAGUUUCUGAUUCUUAUUGGAUUCAGCUUGAGACGGUGCAAGCCGAUUUCGGAUUCUUUGAUCCCAAGCCGGGGGAUUUCCAUGGGGCGAAGCUCCUCCUCCAAAGCUACCUCGACAAUGAGCCGUGGGACCUUAGCGGGUUCGUGGACCUCGUCCUGAAUCAGACCACGGUGGGGACCGUUGUGAGAUUGGACGGCUAUGAUGAUGACAAUGAAGGGGACGGGGAUAACGGUAGCAGCGGCGGUGACGAUGACGAGGAUUUGUAUGGCGUUGUUACUGCACUCAAUUUAAAAAGAUAUGCUGUAAGAAAAUUGAAAAUUUGAUCAUUUCGGUGUAAUUUUGAUUCUAGUGUGUCAACAGUUUCUCAUGAUCUUUCUUUAAAACAACUUAUUUAUAGGAGCAUAAAUGCAUUAAGGAGCUCAAAAAGUUCCUUCUCGGAGUAUGUAGGGAUGAGAAUACGAAGAAGAAGCUAAAAUUGCUAUUGGAAGAGCAAGCGAGUCAAGUGGGCUUGUUGGUCUCGCAGCGGUUUGUAAACUGCCCUUACCAACUUGUGCCCCCAUUGUAUGAUGCACUUUUUGAUGAGGUCUCAUGGGCAACAGAAGAUGAGGUAUUAGGUUUUCCCCCUUUUCAUAUAAAUUUCAUGCUGAAAUUGGUUGUAACUGGAUUCGUCUAUACCUAUCAAAGCCCACACAAGAACUUCGAGACUCCUUCCGGUUCAAAAGCUAUUUGUUGAUUAGCAGGAUAUAUGAGGUACUUUUCCUUUCCAAAUUGUCUAAUUUAAUUUGUUGCUGGAACUCAAUAUUAUCAAUUCACUUUGCAAUUGUAUGCCUUAAAUUCCACCCUAGUAUGUAGACAAGAGGCUAGUGACUAGUUCAUCGAAUAUGGUUUAUUUACUAGUCAUUGCGAUAUAUGAUCUCUCUGUUUAACACCGAUGUUAGUAUCUGCUUAUGCGAAUGCUUGUUGUGUCGUGAUCAGCUUAUUGUUGUUCUUUUCUGUAGAGAGAUCCGAACAAACCAAAGGGAAAGCGUAGCGUCAAUCAAGAUGAACCUGUUAUUUAUAUAAAGGCAGAAGAUGAAAUAUUUCAUGAGGUAUUGAAUAUAUACUAUCUUGGAUAUAUACUAUCUUGUAUAUAUAUACUGGAUAUAUACUAUCUUGAAUAUAUGCUAUCUGCUAUUUGAUUAUUUUUAAGCUACUUAUAUUACCCUUCUCAUUUCAGCUCAGCACUUGGUCUUUUACUUUUCCUGUGCAUGCUGAGCAGUUGGUUCCAGACGAUGUAAGUUGCAUGUAGUUGUUUAAAGUUAUGCUAUACUUGCUCUUUGUCUUUAUUAUCCAGCCUAUUUUUAUGUUCUUUUUUCUUUAUUAACCGGAUUGAUAAUAUUGAACAUUUAAAAUUUUAAUUUUUUGGUCCAUUAUGGAUGGUUUUCACACUUGUCUAAGCAUACUGUGUGUAAGUUGAUCUUCAUUCUGGAAUGUGAAUGGAAAAAAAUGUGAGGUGGAAACACAGAAGGCCUUUGCGCUUCUAAGAGCACCUUAGCUUAGCCCUUGAUAGCAUUGGUACUUCUAUCACUUUUUCACCCGUUCGAUGCUUCGCCGUGAUUCACGCAGGUGUGCUUCAUGAUGCAUGCUGUGUUGUGCCUAUCAUGAUUCCCAUCUGUCACUCAUGUAAUUUGUGAUGCAUGUCCAACAGGUGAAAAGGUGAUAGCUUGGUCAUUGUGUUUUAGCUUGUAGGGAAGAGACAUCCUUCUUUAAAGUAAGAAGUGAGCUAACAUUGAAAAAGGCAAACAAGAAGUUUGUAGUUGCUUAAACAAGCUUGUAGUUGCCUAAAUGAUAAAUUGUGGAAUUUAUGCUGAAAAAGGAUCAUAUUCACGUCCUGUAGAAUGUAGUUUUGGGCUAUAGAACUAUUGUCCUAUGCUUUUAAUAUUUAUUUCUAUGCUAGAUGCACUUUAUGCCAGAUUGAGCUAAUCUGCUUACCAAUCUUUAUAAAGGAACUUUUUGGCAAGAUAUGCAAGUUAUUAUUUGUCAUCAAAAUGCUAGAUUUAUAUUCUAAGGUUGACUUGUUAUUUGUCAUUCGUAUUGAAACUUCUUUACAUAUAUUAAGAGAAGUUGUUACUCACAGAAUUUCCAUUCUGAAUAAAAAGUGCUGUGGAGAUUGUAGCAGUCUGUUUUUAUUAUGGUAUUCGAAUAGAUUGCUGCGCCUGCUACUUAACUUUAUUGAUCUGCAUUGAGGAUGCUUUAUUCUUGCUGCCAUUUUUUUAUCUUGCACUUGUGAUUAAUUUUUUAUUCUCAACAAGUUCAAGAUAGCACUGCAGUUAAAUAUGCUGUAUUUGAUAUAUUUCCAGUUCAUUUAUUUGUAUGUUUGAAUAGUGAUCUUAUCUUUGAUUUCAAUUUGCAUCAAUACCGGUACUCAUAUUUCUGUUUUCUGCAGUUGAAGAACUAUAGGCAGAUGGGUCUAGUUCUGGUUGUUAAAGCUGACGAUGUUCCCAAGUUUCGAGAUAAGUUAAAAUCGUUAGUAGCUGCUGAAUCAUGAUGCCUUCGGCAUGAUAAUUUUGGUGUGAAAUAGUUGUUCUAUAUUUCUGAGGGCUAGCUGUUGCCACUUUAUUUGUAGUUGAAAUAUCAAAUCUCAUUUCAUUGUUGCAUUUCGUGCAGCAAACAUAAAUUUCAAGGUGAAGUUUCCUUUUCAAUUGGUUGGUAAGGACAGAGGAGCUAAAAUUUGUGUAAUAUCUCUGGAAAAGGGCUUGAUGGUUAGUACCCGAGACCCAAAUUCGAAUCCUAAUUGAUUCACAUUUCUAGCUAAGUUUAUUUCUAAAUGAAAUAAACGAAGCGGGUAGCGUGCUACCUAUCUUUCAAAAAAAAAAAAAAUCCCUAGAAAAGUUAAGUAUUUUGUAGAUUGUCCAAAGAUAGGCGGUGGGACACAAAAUACUUUUGGCAUUUCAUUCCCUUCCUUUUUGUUUAUGUAGUUGCAGGAUGUGCAAAUCUAUUUUACUUGUAGUUUUAGAGGCUAAACAGAAAAAUGUGCAUGAGCAUUGUAGAUUGAUCGUGCCCUUCGUUAUAAUCACAACAUUUAGGGGAGUUACCGGUCAUUACAUUGUCUAUUAGGGCUAUUCUGCAAAUAAUUUGCUAUUAUUUUGUAUCAACAAAAUGCUAAUGGCACAUCUUUUUCUAAUUUCCGGUAUCUAUUCUUUCGAAUGAGUGAUCUUUUUGCAAGUUCAGAUCCAUUUAGGGGAGUAUGAUUUAUCAUUGCUAUUGUACUCUAUAUUGAGUAGUGAGUACAUUCCUUGUUAGAGUACGCGGCCCUUUUUCCAUUGUGAUAUCUUGUUGAAUUCUCGUAUUAGGCGUAGUUUAGAGUAAGAUAUUCAGUGGUAUUUUAUUUCGUAUGAGAAUUUUCUAUUAUCACUGAAAGCCAGGAGUGUUAAUGUGUAGAAUGGAAUAUAGUAUAUUCGACCUUCAAAUCAUUUUUUGAAAUAAGAUAAAUUAUCUUAUAAAUGAAAUAUAUUAUACUACCAAAUUAUGGAUGCCAAGAAUUUUUAAGAAAUAAAAACUAGACCUUUGCCUUAUAUUUAUAUAAGAAAAUUUUUAUACGAAAUAAAUUAUUAUAAGAUAACUUAUUUUGCCAUUCAAAUAAGUUCUUGUUGUCUAGCUUGUUUUUGUUCGGAUCACGGGCUCGUACUGUAGUUAUGAAUUUAAAUGAACUAUAAGCUUGAUGGUCGCUCAAUCAAGAACCUUCUACGCUUCUAUAUCGAAUGAGUAUGAGAUUUUUUAUAUGAAGGGGAAGUCGUUUAGUUUAAUUUGCAGGCUUACCUAGGCUUUCAAGAUGUUGAGAGAGAGAGAGAGAGAGAGAGGGAGUGAAUGCGUGUAUGUAUUAGAGAGAGAGAGAGAGAGGGAGUGAAUGCGUGUAUGUAUUAGAGAGAGAGAGAGAGAGACAGUGAAUGCGUGUAUGUAUUUGUCAUUAUAUUUUCGAGCUAUCAAGCAGCACAAGAAGAGUUGGUUUUUCUCUCUUUCUACUUGUGUCUAUCUUCCUUUUAUUCUGCAAUCAUCAGAUAGAAAUUUUAUUCCCCUUUCGGUAGGACUUUUGUCUGUUCAAAGUUCAAACUGUGAGAUACAUUUUUAGGGUUCUCGCGUCAAGUCAUCCAUCUAUUCCUGAUGUCAAAGUUUUCCGAUUUGAGUAGUUAAGUUGGAUUUGAGUUUUAAGUACUUAGUUAGGCAGCUGGGAGCUUCAGUUGGAAUUUAUGUAAUCAGUUCGACCUAACAGCGAGUCAAAGCAGCAGCCAGGGACAACUUAUGGAAACGUUUCUAAUUACCUCUAGUCAACAAGCUAUAUCCUUGAUGGCAGUUGGGGUAUAGUCAUUUAAACUGUGUGAAUCCUAAAGUUGCUACGUUCACCAUUUCAUUGAGUAAUUAGAUUGGUUGUUCCCGUAAAUAGAUUGCAGUGUAGCUGAAUUACUGGCGCUCCCAUUAAUAAGCUAUCCUGCUGGCCCAUUCCAAAAGAAUGAAUGAGGCAGUCAGGCUUCUGGAGGAAGCUUAUUAAUUUGAUAAAAAAGCCUCUUUUUUUAUGUUUUCGUUUCAUUUUUUUGAGAGAGGUAGCAGACCAUCUUCUUUUUCUUUUUUUGAGAAAUAAAUGGCUAUUUAUUAGUGCAAGCGAAUAAAUAAGUGGAUAAAUACAAGCAAGACGUUUAGUGGGUAUCGAUGUUCUAAAGAAUCUACUUUUUAAAUAUGAAUCGAGAGUUGGAUGGCAUCCGCAUAAGAAAUUAUAUAGCUCUUUUUAGCUUCCCGGUGGACUCUGAUCAGCUUGAUAAAGUACACAUCUAACUUGCUAGAAAUUUACAGGCCCAUACGGUACUUUUCAUUUUUUAUUGACAAAAAGAUCAGACUGAAUGGGCCGAAAAGGAGAGGAAGCCAAGUGGUGAGUGGAGUGGAGCUGAUAAUAAACUGUUAUGAAACUUUUAAACUGACUAAUUAGCUUUUUAAUCUCUUGUCCAUGCAACCAGUGUGGUGAUUGUGGUGCCAUCAGAAGCAUUAGUGGUGACCUCUCCAUGAUUUCAGGAAUUCACUCUGUAACACUUCACCAAGUAUGAUGGGGCUGCACACGACAGAUCGAUAAAGCCCGAUAAAAAUACUUCACAUUGGGUGCAAAUUAUUCAGGUUCCCGAUAAGAAUCUUCACAUCUGUUCAAAUGAUCCAGUUCCCACGUUUCGGCACUACACGUCUUUACUAUAAUCUUACAUCAAAAGGUCCACGAAGAGAUACAUUAUUUAUCUAUUUUAUAAACCCUCAUGCGCACCUAAUCAACUGGCUGGCCACGAUAGCUCCAAGGACAAGGCAUACACAAACAAGAAGGUAAAGUGGCAGCCUACCAAUAUCCCAAGUAAUUUCAGGAGACAUCGACCACCUUGCUUGCACACGAUCAAUUAAAUUAGUCAUGAUAGUUUAAUAGCGUCUAAACUAUGCACACGGCACUCAUAAAAGAUAAAGAUAUUGCGCGCGCAAGAGAGAGAAAGGACACCAAUCCAAGCCGUAAUAGCAGUAGUAUAUAACCACACCAAGUAUCCAGUACACGGAGAUCGCCACAGUAGUAGUAGUACAUCACCAACAUACACGUACACGCACGGAACGAUACUGUGCAUCCCAUAUAUUAUGCGUGCACUCUACUAGUGCAACUAGUGCUGCUUAUUCUUUACUAUUGCCACUCCUAAUUAAGUAAGAACUGGUGCAGGCAGUGGGGCCUGCACGAAUCCUAGUGCCCCACGGGUUUAGUUGAGGUCCGGGUGGUGGGGAGGCUUGUCGACGUCCUCAAGGGGGCGGAACCACACCUUCUGGUCCAGCACCGUCGACCCGCCACCAUUCCCCGCCGCCACAGCAGCUGUGUUGCCCAGCCCGUCCUUUGGUCCGGCGGUGGCGGUGGCGGUGGCGGCGGCGGCGGGCCCAAAAACGCCAGUCGUAGGGUGCGGGCCCCAGUACUUGUCCGACACAGCAGCUUCGAUCACAUGGUCCGGCAACACCACCGGGUGCACCAGAUCCUCCGCGUUCUUGUCGUACGAUGAAGCGUGCACUCCUCUCCUGCAGAUAAUACUAAGAUUUUAAACAAAUUAAAGUCUAAAUAAAUAACUACAAUAUUUGGACUAAGAGUUGCAAUCUUUCAGCCCUCUAAAAGGUUUGUACCCAUACUAGCAUUUCUCAUCUUAAAAGUAUUUCUCAUCUUAAAAGUAAUUUGGACGACGGACAAAAGAGCAAUGGUAGUUCUAUAAUAACUUUUUAAUUUAAUUAUAAUUCUACAACUCUUAAUUCCUAAAAAUCAUAAUUUUUUUUCACUAGUUUUUAUCAACCUUUCUUUACUACUAACAUAAUAAUAUUAAAAAAAGGUAUAUUACCAAUCCUUUACUUAAAAGGUUGUAUGCUGCAAGGCAACAACCUUUUAUUAGAUUAUAGACUUUGGCAUUUCUUCGGGUAAGAGAGAGGAAGCUGUUUCGUGUUAUAGGGACAGUGUCAUAGGGACAGAAGGGGCAUUUUGGAUAUAUAUAUAUAUAUAUAUAUAUAUAGAGAGAGAGAGAGAGAGAGAGAGAGUCUACUAUAUUCUUAUGAGUACAUAGUCCUACUUAUAAGCUGUUUUUGAUAAUGAAGCUUCUAAAUCGACAAUCCACUCUGUUAAAUAUGAUCUAUAGUAUUUGAAAUUUCUAAAAACUAAAUUUCGUAAUUUUUUAAAAUCAUAAUAAAAUCCAUUAAGUGAGAAUAAAAUAAACGGUUAAAAUCGAAUGAUAUCCUAAAGAUGAAUGAUCGAAUCCUUCAAUUUAAGAUUGGAAUUAUUGAUCUUUAUCUAGACAGUGAAUAAAAUUUUUUAUCAAAAAUUCAACAGAUUUCGAUUUUUUUACACAGUUAAACUAGUAAAUAUCUCAUACCAGCCGUUAAAAAUUAUCAAUUUUGAAAUCUUUUGAUCGCAAGAUAAAUAAUAUCAANGGGCCGUUGCAUCUGCGUGUAUCCGUAGGACCGCAAUACCCAUCUCACGGCUCACGUUAGUCAUCGGUGCGGCUCUAAUAAACGGGGGGAAAGAAUCGUACGGCAGGCAUGGUCCACCUCAAAAACGCGUGCGGAGUAAUCGAGGGGCACACAAAUCCACCGUCCAAUGAGCCUCCAAAUGAAAUCAGGAUCGUCAAUUGAUGGACGGUACGAUCAAAUUACCCGAGUGGUUAAAGCGAUGGUUGUGUUCCUAGUGAAGUCCGACAGUGUUUUUUUGUCGUUUUGUGACUUCGCUCUCUUAGCAUGUACGCUUUUACGCACAGCGAGUGCAGAAGAAAACAAGAGAAAAGACGGGAAAGAGUACAGAGAAAGGGAAAACCGGUACGGAGACGAAACAAGGGCGAUAAUUUCUCUGGGAAUUAGUAGAGAUGGCAAAAUUAGUGCGGAUAAAGAAACAAAGGACUUUGUGUGGAAAAUAUCAUCGCCACACACUGAAAAAUAAAAAAAAAUAAAGGAAAAGACAGGGAGGGUGGGGGGAGGGGGGGAAGGGGGAGUAAAAGAACUCUACUGGAGAUGUCCUUACAGAGUUGCAUUGCAUCUCUGGUAAAACAGAAUAGAUCCCCUCGAAAUUUCAACUCUAAGAUCCACAAAAGCAAGAGAACCUCAGAAAAAGGAAAACUAAUUGAAAUAUAUAACUAAUUGAUAUAUAUCACUGCUUAUAGUUGAUACUUAGACUGUGUGCUUAAUUAGCAUAUAUGCACCGAUCGCUAAAACAAACAUAACAGCUAACACAUCAAGAAGCAAAAAUCACCAAAUAAUUUCACAACAUCAGAUGCUUAAAAAAAAAAUAAAAAAAACCUACAACCAGUUAUACCAGUGCUUAAUUAGCAUAUAUUGAUCGAUGCGACUAAAAGCAACUAAUAUAUUAGCAACGAUCAGUAGAGCAAAUUUAAGAAUUAACACACGGAGAGCAGCUAAAAAAAUCGGUUGAUCUCACGAGAUCAUAACAAAUGCUGAGCAAUUAGGAGAUGUACCUUGAAUCCGACGCAGCGAAAACCGCAAUCGGAGAAGGAUUUCGAGAGGCCCAGAUCUGGUUCACGAAUCGCUUCCCGAAGCUUCCCGCGAUCGCUCGCCCCUUCGAAUUAGCGGCCAUGCAAAANAUAAACGGUUAAAAUCGAAUGAUAUCCUAAAGAUGAAUGAUCGAAUCCUUCAAUUUAAGAUUGGAAUUAUUGAUCUUUAUCUAGACAGUGAAUAAAAUUUUUUAUCAAAAAUUCAACAGAUUUCGAUUUUUUUACACAGUUAAACUAGUAAAUAUCUCAUACCAGCCGUUAAAAAUUAUCAAUUUUGAAAUCUUUUGAUCGCAAGAUAAAUAAUAUCAAAAAAUUAUAAAAUUUGAUUUCUAAAAAUUUUAAAUGCUCUAAAUAACGUUUAACGGUAUGGAUCGUCGAUUCGAAAGUUCUACCAUAAAAAACGACUUAUAAAUACAAAAACAAUCGUACUCAUAAGAAUAUAGUAGCCGAACUAUAUAUAUAUAUAUAUAUAUAUAUAUAUAUAUAGGUUUUGUGUGCUAUUAGGAGCAGCCGUUUUCGAUGAUGAAGCUUCCGAAUCGACGAUCGGCUCCGUUAGACUUGAUCUACCAUAUUUGAACUAUCUAAAAAAUAAAUUUUACGAUUUAUCGAUAUCAUUACCUACCGAUCGUAAAGGUUCAAAAUCAGAUAAAAUUUUAAUAGAAAAUUCUUUAUACUAUUUACAGCAAAUUUAAUAUUUCUGAUCGAAAAUUUUAAUACUAUAGCACCACUUUUUGUGAGAUUUUUAUUUUCAGCCGUUGUUUUUUAUUCCUUUCAAUCGUUAGGUAAAUAUUAUCGAAAAAUAACAAAAUUUAUUUUUUAGAUAUUUCAAAUACGCAAGAUCAAGUCUAACGGAAUCAAUCGUCGAUUCAGAAGCUUUAUCAUCGAAAACAGCUUAGGAACACUAAAGACCUCUGUACUCCUAAUAGCACUCAGAAGACCUUCUCUCUCUCUAUAUAUACAUAUAUAUAUAUAUAUAUAUAUAUAUAUAUAUAUAUAUUCGUCCGAUACCAUCGGGGCAGGCGCCAAGAACGUGACAGGAACUGGAAAUCGAGAUGGAUAAGAGCAAAUCUCACUCGUACGCGUGGCCUCCGAUGGAAAGGUUGGUGACUGACUACCAAACGAUCAGGGCCGUUGCAUCUGCGUGUAUCCGUAGGACCGCAAUACCCAUCUCACGGCUCACGUUAGUCAUCGGUGCGGCUCUAAUAAACGGGGGGAAAGAAUCGUACGGCAGGCAUGGUCCACCUCAAAAACGCGUGCGGAGUAAUCGAGGGGCACACAAAUCCACCGUCCAAUGAGCCUCCAAAUGAAAUCAGGAUCGUCAAUUGAUGGACGGUACGAUCAAAUUACCCGAGUGGUUAAAGCGAUGGUUGUGUUCCUAGUGAAGUCCGACAGUGUUUUUUUGUCGUUUUGUGACUUCGCUCUCUUAGCAUGUACGCUUUUACGCACAGCGAGUGCAGAAGAAAACAAGAGAAAAGACGGGAAAGAGUACAGAGAAAGGGAAAACCGGUACGGAGACGAAACAAGGGCGAUAAUUUCUCUGGGAAUUAGUAGAGAUGGCAAAAUUAGUGCGGAUAAAUAAAUAAAUAAAUAAAGAACUUUGUGUGGAAAAUAUCAUCGCCAGGCACUGAAAAAUAGGAAAAAUUAAGGGAAAAAAAAAAAAGAGGGGGAGAAGUCAAAAAAACUCUACCGAAGAUGUCCUUACAGAGUUGCAUUACAUCUCUGGUAAAACAGAAUAGAUCCUAUCGAAAUUUCAACUCUAAGAUCCACAAAAGCAAGAGAACCUCAGAAAAAGGAAAACUAAUUGAAAUAUAUAACUAAUUGAUAUAUAUCACUGCUUAUAGUUGAUACUUAGACUGUGGAAGCAAUCAUGGUAAUAGCACCGAUCGCUAAAACAAACGUAACAACUAACACAUCAAGAAGCAAAAAUCACCAACUAAUUUCACAACAUCAGAUGCUUAAAAAAAAAAAAAAAAAUCUCACAACUAGUUAUACCAGUGCUUAAUUAGCAUAUAUUGAUCGAUGCGACUAAAAGCAACUAAUAUAUUAGCAACGAUCAGUAGAGCAAAUCUAAGAAUUAACACACGGAGAGCAGCUAAAAAAAUCGGUUGAUCUCACGAGAUCAUAACAAAUGCUGAGCAAUUAGGAGAUGUACCUUGAAUCCGACGCAGCGAAAACCGCAAUCGGAGAAGGAUUUCGAGAGGCCCAGAUCUGGUUCACGAAUCGCUUCCCGAAGCUUCCCGCGAUCGCUCGCCCCUUCGAAUUAGCGGCCAUGCAAAUCAGCAAAUGAGAGGAGUGAAAAUAGGAGAGAGAGAGAGAGAGCGAAAAGAAAGGUAAAAACGAAGGGAAAGGGAUAGAGAAUGGACGGGCCCUUUUCCAUUGGUAGCACCAGCUAUUUAUAGCCUCGCCCGCACUCACUCCCACAGCCCACCAACCCGCCCCGUUUACUACGCCGUUAACGUUUUCAUUCCCUUCUAUUGACGGCGCUCCUAACGGCGUUAGAGCGGAGGCAAGCCACGUGAGUGGAGCGAAUAUUUUGGAGCAUAUUCUACAUACAGUCCGAAGCGUCCCUCCAGAUGCUGUUGGUCUCCUGCUAGUGCAUGAAAUUACCAAAACGCCCCGCGACGUUUGGUCUGGUCACUGACACGGUGAUAGUAGCCAAACUAACCGACAAAAAUAAUCUGUUAUACUUCUGGUAAAAAAAAAAAAAAAAAGUUAAAAUAUAGUGAAUUGCAGGAAUAUUCUUACAAAGUUCAAUUUUCAUAAAUUAUUUCUAUAAAAAUCUAAAUAUAUUUAGAUAUGUUCCUUUGAUUAGCAUCCGUUAGAAAACUGUUUAUUUUUUAACAGUAGAUUUGUGAAAUAACAUUUUUACCCUCACAAAUAUGUUUGUUCAAAAGCUCUAGCUGGUAUACUUUUGCAGAAAUGCCCUCACAAAUAUCCUUUUUUUUCUUUCUCUUCUUUUUUGGGCUACUGGAGCGGACGGCUCCGGCGACGUCACGGAGCUUGUCGGAGUUGUGGCCGACGAGGACGAGGUUGAGGCCCGCAGCGGCGAUGCGGAAGGCGAUGGUGCGGCUGAUUUGGAAGCGCUCGUGAUGACGGCCCCGCGAGCACGACGAUCACAUCAUCAACGACGACAAUAACGAAGAAGAAGAAAGAAGAGAAAAGGAGGAGAAAAAAGAGGAUACGAAGAAGAAGAAUAAGAAGAAGGAGGCAGCGGAAGUUGUUGUCCGGCAGCCGCCACACUUACCUCAGCCGAAGGCGCCGCUGGGGAUGGCGAGGUCAGCGCCGAUCUCUCACGAGGAGCACCACCCGAUCUUUCUUCUCCACCACGAUCGUUUGCCGCAUCUCCUUCCUCGCGAGCGACGGCGACGACGGCCACUCCGACAAGCAGAAGAGGGAGAGGAAGAUGAAGAGAAAGAGGAAGAAGAAGAAGAAAAAAAUUAUCAAUUCACCCUAUUAAUUAAUCAUGGUUAAAUAUUUUAACUGUGGUUAACUAAAUUUCUGUAACAGAUCCUAAUGGUAAGCACAUAUCUGAAUACAUUAAGAUUUUUGCUGGAAUAACUUAUGAAAGUUGAACUUUGCAGGGAUAUUUGUAAUUCAUCAUAUUUGUAGGGACCUAUAUAAAAUUAACCAAAAAAAAAAUGUCAUAGCUGUAAUCCCAGCUUCAGAGAUUGGAAGCAAUAAAAUAAAUUGGUAUUAUUUUAUGAUUAUUAUUACUAUUAUUAAAAACGAUUUCAAAGUCAGUAUAAGUUAAUGCCCGUCUAGUGUGGAGGGAAACUUGAUCUCAGGCUCUUAAUAGGGGACGUUUGGAUCUAAUGGAACUCAAAUGCUAUGUUAUUUAAAUUUUUUUAAAGUAUAAUUAUUUUCUAUUAUUUAUUUUAAUAUAACUCGUAUAGUGUUAAAUUUAAUUACCUUUUUCGUUUGUUUCGAUGUAAUUUGGUACUGAUAAAAUUAAUUUUUUGAGUUCUAUUGUUCAUUUUGAUACUUCUAUAAAAUUUAAUUUAUUAAAUAAUUAAAUUUUCGUUAUUGUUUGGAAGUAAACUUAACUUAUUGUAAAAAAAAAAAUAUCUCUAAUUCAUUUUAAAGGAAGUAGAGUUUAGAUUCUAAUAUUUAAUAAAUUUUUUAGUUAAAGUUGAGAGUAGUGAAACUUGAGUUCAGUACUUUAGAGAAAACAGUCAAAAGUAAGUAAAAUGAAGGUCUAACGUAAUUUAAAUUACAAUAUUUUUUAACUUGCACCAAAAGAAAUAUUAAAAUAAUGAAACUUAAGUUUCACCCCUCCAAUAAUCAAAUAGCCCUUUAAAUGAAAGUAAAAGAUACCUAUCAAACCGACUGUUCAUAACACAAAUAGUAAAGAGUUUAGUGGUUGGUAUUCGAGAUCCCAAAUUCGAAUACUAGUUAAUUAAUAUUUUCAGCUAAGUUUAUUAUUUAAAGAAAAUAAGCGCAACGGAUAGCAUGCUAUAUUUUUUUUAAAAAAAAACGACAAACUUUAUAUCAUUGUGGUUGAUUAGUUUAUCCUGCCAUUGGCAUCUAGCACGAAAAAAAGUUGUUCAUUUAUUGGUUUAUUAUGCAUUUGUUCUCCAUCGUAUUAUUUGCCCGUUAUAGACUAGCUACUUGAGUGCGGCAUUAGAAAAUUUGAAAUUUUUAAGUUGGUUUUCUUUGUCCUAGAAGUGGAAGAAUUUUAUUUCGAGUGCUUUAACUUUAGAAAACUUUUUUUUUUUUUCUUGUUGUAAUGCAAUCUCCUAUCUUUUGUAUUAUUAAAAAUUUCUUUUGGGAUGACUAUUGCCAUAUAUAGAGGAAUAUUGACUAAACUAAUAUUCGAUAUUGCGUGAAGAAAGGCCAGUGAAUAGUGGUACGUUUUUGUCGAGCUUGCAACAUGACAAUUACUUUAUCUUUCUAAGUUAACCUUAAACUUAUACAUCUUCUUUAGGAUAUGUGUUGCAUCGAUGCUCAAAUUUGCGUAAUCCAUAUGGAAUUGGAUAUGAUAUUCUACUAUAAAUAUUAUUUUCUCAUCAAUUACCACUAAAAUCAAGACUUGCAUCUUUGAAGAGAACUGUUAGAGAAAGUCCCAAUAAUUUAUUCUUUAUAAGCAUUCUUCUAUUUGCACUAGAUUUUUGAAAAUUUAUAUUUUUUUAAUUUGCAUGUUCUGAAUUUUCUCACUGCUAUAAAAUAACGGAGAAAAAAUAAAAAAAUUAUGUUAUAAUUAGUUCUAAAAUUUUCCCCCCCUUUCCUUAAAACUCAACUAUUAGGUCAUUUCCUAAAUUAUGUCAGCAAUUCCCAGAAAAGUCAAGAGUCGGUGGCAAGAGAAUUUGUUCGGAUAAGAAUUAAAUAAUUGCUCACGAAAAUGUAAUUGUCGUCUCCAUUAAAUUAAGUUGUUCGCCUAUGACUACUCUUCUAUUAUCUUCUCAGUACGUACUCCCUAGCUUUGUACUAAGAGGAGUACUUCUAUAUAGCUUUCUAAUGUUAUUUUAGCUAAAAAGAUUAAAAAAACAAAAUAGCAGUGCAUUAUUUAAAUUAUUGUCGAUUAGUUAGAUUUCAUGGUAUAGCGUGGUUCAUCUUAUACACCAUUAUAUAAUUUUUUUCUUUUGAAUUUGGCAUUCAGGUUGGAGGAAAGAUUGUGUCUUUUCAUUAAAAUUUAUAAACAGUUUUCUAGUUUUAUUUUUUAUCUAUUAUUUUUUGUUCAAAGGAAGCAUUAAAGUAAGACUACAAAGACAACUCGGAAAGCGCCGCGAAGCUUCCUCGGCGUCAUUUCAAUUCCCAGAUGUUAACUUUGAAUGAAGUUCCUGUCACUGUCGAACACUUACAAUUCAAUGGGAGAUAUUUUUGGCCCACUCUAUAGCUUUGAUCAUUAAAAGUUGAUAUAAUCAACUGUAAUUAACUUGAGCAUCCUCCACAUGUCAUAGUUUGAUAGGCAUUUAAUACCAUAUAUUGUCUAAGAGUUGAUUAAUAUGGAUUAGCCACCGCUAAAACGACAUUUAACAGUAAAUCAGCAACGUCGGUGGUUAUUAAUUAAUAGCAAUGAUAAAGUUCGUGGUUUAAAAAACGAAAAUUUUCAUUAGAUGAAAUAUUUAUAGAGGCUUCAAAUGGAAGUACCUACUUGGUGUAAUAGGAAAUAUAAAAAUACAAAUUAAUUAAAAAUAAAAGGAAAAAAUUUUAAAGAUUUCACACAGAAUUUCGAAUCUACUAGGGUGAAAAACAAAAUCAGUUUAGAUGCUACCUGUCUUUAUCCCACUUUUGGAAAGGCCCACUAAGGAAGGCAAGCGGCUCCUUUGUUCUUAAAAAAAAGGGGUAAUUGAUACUCCUGAAAAUAUUUCGAUUUUUUAAUUUAUCUUUUUUAAAAAAUUAAUAUUAAAAAUAUUAUUUUUAUAUUCAAGUUAUUUUAAAUAUAUCUCUAGGGUUAAAUUUUGUUAGUGAACUGUUAUCAAUAACCAUUAUUUCUGUGAAAUUGUUAUUUUAUCCUUUCAAAUAUACUUUCUUUUUGAGAGAUAGGUAGCACGCUACCAGCUUCGUUUAUUUCAUUAAGAAAUAAACUUAGCUGAAAAUGUGAAUCAACUAGGAUUCGAAUUUGGGUGUCGGAUACCAACCACCAAGCACUUUGCCACUUGCUCUAGGGACGGUCGGUCUUUCAAAUAUACUUUCUAUCGUCACCAACUUUUCUUAUUUGCCAUUCAGUUAGGAAAAAAAAAGUAUUUUAAUUUUUAAUCUUUUCAAAUAUACUUUUCUACUAUCACCAACUUGUCUUAUUUGCCCUUAAGUUAAAGACAAAAGAGAUAUAUAUAUAUUUUUUAACUCUGUUAGAUAUUUAACUCACGUUUAAUCUGAAAUAACUUAACGGGUAGUAACUGCAGGGGCAUUUUGAAUAACAGAGAAAUAUAUGAGGGAUAUAUUAAAAACCAAAAAAAGGAGUAAAUUAGAUAUUUUUGAAAUUUUGAGAGGUAUAUGGACAAUUAUCCUUUCUUAAAAAUAUUAUGAAAAAAAUCUUUUAAGAAAAAUAUUUUUGUGAUUUUCUUUUUCAAUUUUUUGUCCUUCUAGUUCUUAAAAAAAUAUUUUUUUCAUAUUUUAUGAGAAAUUAGUGUUUUUGUUUUUCAAAAAAAGGUUCAAAAAACAAAAACAAUAAUUUUCCGUAAAAUCUAGAAAAAUGUUAUAAAUUUUUUUUUCCUUUUUUAAAUUAAAUGCGCUAAAAAAAAAUUCAUAAAAAACAAUCUUUUCCAUGCAUUUCCUAGGAACGAAGCAGCACUUAGAAAGCUCUAUUAUUUAAUCUCAUCCAAAAUGAAACUUUGUUGACAGAUUGGAGGUUUUUUUUUUUUUUUUUGAGAGAAUGACAUGCUACCCGCUUCGUUUAUUUCGUUUAAAAAUAACAAAACUGGAAAUGUGAAUCAGCUAGGAUUCAAACUUGGGUCUCGAAUAUCAACAACCAAACUUUUUUGCCACUUACGUUAGGAACAGUCGGUUGCCAGAUUGGAGUUAAAAGUAAAAAAGUGCAAUAAAGUCUAAAAAUAACGACUUCCGUUCAGAGCCUUCUGUUUUGCUGAUGUUUGGAUGGAUUGCCAUAAACCAUAAACUCCAAUUGGUACUGCUGAAAUAUUCUUUAUAGACAAAUACUAUACCCUACUGUAGAACUAAAACUUUUUUUCAUUCUCACAAGACAACCCAUGUUCAAGAACAAGAAUAGACAAAAAGCUAAAAAAUCUAAGGUAUCGUUUAGUUUAGAGAUAAGUAAAAAAUAGUUAUUCUAGGGAUAAGUAUAAAUUGAGGUAUAAGUCAAGAUUAAAUUAAUUUUAUGUUUAAUUGAAAAUUGGGUUAUUUCUAGGAAUAAAAAAAAUAACGUUUGGUUAAGUAAGAUGGAAUAAGAAUUAAAGUGGAUAGUUAUAAAUAAAAAAUAAUGAUAUUAUCCCUAUCCUAAUAUUUGAAUUUGAAUUUUUAAAUUAUAUAUAUAUAUAUAUUUUGAAAUCUAAAAUUUUAAUUUUUAAAUUUCAAAAUUUCAAAUUAAAUUUUAAAAUUUAAAAUCUCAAAAUUUAAAUUCAAAAUUUUAAAUUUUAAAUUUUAAAUUUCAAACUUUAAAUUUAAGAUCAAAUUUAAAUUUAAAAAAUAUAAAAUAUCAAAUUUUAACAUUUAAAAAUUUAAAAUAUCAAAUUUAAAAUUUAAAAUUUAAAAUUUUGAAAAUAAAAAUAGGGGUGGAACAAUUAAUAAAAAUAAUUUAUUAUAAUAAAUUUAUAAAUUUGAUAAUAAUAAUUUUUUUAAUAAAUUUAUAAAUUUUUUAUUAUUAAUAAUUAAUAUUUUUUAAAAUUCUACUUAAGCUUAAAUUUAAUAAAAAAAAUUUUUAUAAUAUUUAAAUAUAAUUUAUUAUUAAAUUUAUUAUAAUAUUUAAUAUUUAAAUAUAAAAUAAUAUGGAUUAAUAUAGGAUAUUAAUAAUUAAUAAUAAAAUAAUAUAUUAUAUAUAUACUAUUAUAUUUAUAUAAUUUAGUUUUAAUUUAAUUUAUAUUUUUAAUAAAUUUGAAAUUAAAAUUUGGAAUAGCACUAUUCCAUCAAAAUAAUUCCUUACUAUCCGGAAUAGUCGGGAAUAACAAAAUUUGACUAGAUAAAAUAUUCCGGCCAAAAAUUAUUUCGUUUGGCGAAUAGCGGAGUAACAUUCGUUAUUUCCGCUUAUACCGCAACCAAACGGGCCUAAGAAAAUGUUCACGGAAUUAGAUUAGUUUUUCAUCCCAGAAUAUAUUUGUGACGUGAGAGAUUGCACAGAUUAAUGGUCAAAUCUAGAAAACUAUACAAGAAAUAUAUAAUGUAAUUGCGUCCCAUGAAUCAGAUUGGUCCCACUGCUGGGCCCAAAUCUACACAGCGUGCGUGGCGUGGCGGGUGGGAUGUGUUCGGAGAUUGACCCAUUGAGUUGUGUUGGACAUAAAAGAUGAUAAGUUAGGAAUUAAAUGGCCGUGCCGGACCGUAUGACGGGGAGUACUUAUCCUAGUUAGUAAAUUUGCGAAUAAUACGUAAAUUAUUCGUAAAUUUUUUAAUAGCCGAAUUAAACGCACUAAACGUAUUUUGUUUCCAAAAGUGCGAAAAAAAAAGCGUUUUUAUCUCCAAAAAUAAUUAUCAGUGAAUAUUCGCGAUUUCCAAUAAUUCGCUCAAAAAUCGGCGGCGACGCUCGCGUUGUCGUCCUCCUCCGCCGCCGCCCUAUGCCGGCGCCGGAGCAAGAGGGCUGCAGCUACGGUUCCUGCCUCACCCGACGCAUCCUUUUCGCCAAAAAAACGACCUGGCCAGUCGGCGACGCUCGUCGUCGUCCUCUCCUCCGCGCCGCCCUGGCCGAUGCGCGGAGCAAGAGGGCCGCGGCUACGGUUCCAUCUCGCCCGACGCCGUCUGCGACUCCUCGUGCGUCCGCAGAAAAAAAAAAUGAAUAGAAAAAAAUCACGGCGUUUGCGCGCGGUCUCGCAGGAAAGACAAUGCCGCGGUCCACGAGCGCCAUUGGCCUCGGUGGACCGGAUGACGUGGCUCCUCUCAUUAUAUAUAUAUAUAUAUAUAUAUAUUAUAUAUUAUAUAUAUAUAUAUUUUAUUUAUUAAUAUUUUAAAUAAUAUUAUAAUAUUAUUAUCAUAAUUUUAAUAUAUAUAAUUAUUAAAAAUUAUAAAUAAUAAUAUAUAUAUAGUAUAUUAAUUUUAUAUAGCCGAAUUUUUUAUUCCGAAUUUUUAAUGAUAAACGUAUAUUACCCGUAUAAAUCACGUUAUCCGAAUAAUUACCGAAUCCGUUUUUUAGUCGUAUUUUUCAACGAAUUUAAAAAUUAGAAGACGAAUUUUAUCGAAAUUAUAUCCGUACCGAAUUUGCCGAAUCCGAAUUAACUAACUAUGGUACUUACUCGACCCGAGAUGUCACCGCCCUUUAACUAACUAUGGACUUACUUCGACGAGAUGUCACCGUCCUCUCGCGUGCGCAUAUUGUUACGACCUAUAUUAAGACCUGGGAGAGGCUCCAUUGCCAUAUAUAUUUCCCUGAGAAUUUUAUUUUGCUUUUGAUCAUUGAUGAGAUCACUCACGAGUUCAAAUUUUUAUGAAAGUAUGGGGUUUAAAAUAUUCUUUGGCAUUAUUUAGUUUUUUAAUGCCUUUUAAUUAGGCUCUUUUGAUUGAUGUUGCCUUUUUUUAAAAAUUAAUUUUAAACACUAAUUAUACAUAGUUAAAAAUUAACCAUAAAGAUUCGCUUAAUUGCAAUGAAUUCUAACUAAAUAAUGAGUAAUAAUUUAUUGAAAAAAAUUAUAAAAAUAAAAAAUAUUUUUAUUUUUUUUUUAUGUCAAAGUAUCAAACAAUACUUGUAUGUAAGAAUUGCGAUGCAAUUUGUCAUCCCUUCUGCACAUAAAUUAUAUGUAGAUUUAUAUUUUGAAAAAAUUAAAGAAAUAGUAGCGACGUCUACGAGGCGUUAAAAUUUUGUUAAUGCACGUGAUUCGAUGAAAUGUUUCAGGCGUAUGCCUCACAUGAAAUAUCUGUCUGCGAGAGAAAACCCUUCUUCCUCUGCGGCAUGCCAACUAAAGCAUGGGCACGAAGAGAACCAAAAAAAAAAAAAAAAAAAAAAAAAAGGAAAAGAAAAAGAAAAAGACCACCAAGUCAUCAAACAAAGAUCUAAAUGGGCCGGGCCCGGCCCGACCUUCAUUCCUCUUUGAAACCCCGCUUAGGACAUGAUCCGGCCCGCAAAAAGAAGGGCGUAAAAUCAAAAUGGGCCGGGCGCAGAGUCUUCAUCUUAAACCCUUCCCCGUUUCUCUCUCGCUCGCCAACUCCGACACGUCAAACCCUUUCACGGGGCGGCCGCCACCCUCCUCCGCCACGGCGCCUCGUUCCAUUCCAGGUAGAAAACUUCAAAGCAUAACAAAAUAAAAUUUGGUUUACAUACUAGUUCUAAAUAAUCACAAAUUAUUAUUCUUUUGAUUUCGAUAUUAAGAGGUAGAGCGGGAAUUACUUGUUGUGCAAGUAUAUAUUUAUGUAUAUCUUUUGAUGAUACGAACCCUAAUUCAAAUCAAUUCACAGAUUUGCAGCUACCAGGUAGAAACCUGCUUUGAUCAUCAAUUGGACGCUCUUCAAAUUUGUCGCAUAUAGAAAAAGAGAAAGGUAAAGUUACUAUAUAAUCAUGUAUUCAUAUGUUACGCGCGUUUGGGGCAAUUCAACAAAUAUCUUAAGAGCGUAAAAUUUAGAGUGUAAGUGCUUUCCAUGAGAGAUCACUUGAUAAAUUAUAGUUAGAAGCUGUUAAUUAGCAUGUUCGAAAUUAUUUGUUGUAGUUAAUAUGAUAUAGUAAGGUAGUGUUUGGUUCGGGAACAAGGGAGAGAAUAAGCCCUUGUUCCCCCCUUUGUUCCCAAACGCAGCGUUUGGUAACCGAGAACAGUAGUUUUCGGAUUUUUGGAACUAGCUGGUAUAAGACUGGAACUAGCUGGAAUUGUUGUUCUACCUUUUUCCUGGAACAAGCUUGUUCCCGAAUGAGAACAAGAUUAAUUAAAUAUAAAUUUAAAAUUUAAUGAUAGUAAACUAUUAAUUAAUCUAAUUAAUAUAUUUGAAUUAUUAUCUAUUGCUUAAAUAAUAAAAUAAAUAAAUAAAUAAUGAAUUAUAAUUAAUUAUUUAUAAUUAGAUAAUAAUAAUUAUUAAUUUAAUAAUUAUUAUUUAUUAAUAAUUAUUAAUUAAAUAAUUAUUAUUAAUAAUUAUUAUUCUUAAGAAAUAGAUAAUCGAUAUUAUUAUUAAUUUAUUAUUUAUAAUUAAUUAUUAAUAAUUAGAUAAUUAUUAUUAAUUAAUUUAUUACUUAUAAUUAAUUAUUAAUAAUUUUACUUAUAAUAAUUAAUAUAAGUAAUAAUGUUAAAAAAUAAUUAAUUAAUUAAUUAAGUAAUAAUUAUUAAAAAAAUUCAUAUAACUAAUUAAGUUACUCAUUAAAGGAAAAAAAAGAGGAGGACCGUAAUAAAGAAAGCCAGGAAAGGAAGUAUUAUUACUUAUAAAAUAGAAAUAUAAAAAUAAGUAUAAUUAAUUAAAUUAAGUGAAAUAGUUAAAUUAAUAAUUAUGAAUGUGAGUAGGGGUAGGGGAUUGUUGAGUUUAUCUAAUUUAUUAUUAUUUAUUUCUUAACUUAUAUUUGAAUGUAUAAUAUAUCUAAGAUAAUAUAAUGUUAAUUUCAAAUUAUAACUUUUGAUUCCUUCUAUUCAUUUAACCCAUCCAAUUGAGAACGCUAUUUACCUUAUUCCUAGUAACAACCAUGUCAUCGCAAACAGGUAAAAUUGGCUCUACGUUCCUCGCUUAUACCUGAAGCUUCGUACCUAUCCUAUGCCGGAACAACAUUCUACGUAUACCAUGAAGCUCAAACCAGCCUAAAUACGAGCCUCAUUAUAAUGAGGACAUAAUAAGAUGUAAAUAUCAUAUUAUCAUGUCUUUUCUACUAACUCUGUUUUUCUUUUAUAUUAAUUUCUAAUUUUUUGUCGGAAUCAAUUAGUGUACCUAACAAUUUUAUGGAUAAUGAGUGGCCCUCAAAUAAUCCUCAUCGUAUCAGGUUCUGUUACACGAAAUCGAUAAUCCUUAUGAUAUCAAGUCUCUUUCGUCUCUUCUUCCAUCCUGAACUAACUUUAGUAUAAUUGGAACUACGAUUUUAACAAUAGUGUAACUAAUAUAUAGACCUUAGUAUCUACAACCGUUGGCAUGGUAGUGCCUCAGAGCACCAAUUGAAUGAUUCAUUCAUAAUAGCAUGAUGUACUUUAUCUUGACAAUUGAUGGUUUAAACGAACACGUAACGGAUUGCAAUAUUUUCUAGUUGAAGUCAUUUGAUGGGAAAACAUGCUGAGUGUUUAUUUUCAUCUUAUUCUAUACCGGCAUGUGGUUAAGAGAUCGGGGCUAAAAUAUAACACACUUAUUGUGACGCAAUUGAUUACGGUGACGUACAGACGUUACAAUUAUAUCUGUCAAAAUAUACACUGCAACUAUACUACCGAUGUGUUAUUGAAUAGACCUAAGUUCAUUAUUAUGCGAUAUUUUUAUUCCAAGCUAGCAUAUUAGUGUAAGCGCUCCAAAUUUCCACAUCGUAUCGGAUCUUGAUGCUCCGAUUACUGUAAUAUAACUAGCCCUACACCUAUUAAUAAUAAAUGUCGUUAAGUAUUUUGGACUGGUUGUUGGGGCGUCCAACAAGUUAUUACGCUGCAGGUUUGGUUUUUUACAAUUUUGUAAUCAAACGACCGAAUAACCACCGGAAGUGAGAAGAUAAGUGCUAUCGGGGACACCAAUACUACACCAACCGUUGGGGAGCCACGUCUCUUGAAACCGUAGAAGCACCUCUAGAAUCUCACAUGUUGUCUGAAUACUGUUCGCUGAUGACCGGUUUGUAUCUGUGAUCUGGUUGGACCGACGCUGGACUCAUGGUCUAAACAGGGUCGGAGUUUUGUAACGCUCCCCAAAAUCCCACCAAUCGAUGAACCUGAUGCCACGUCCGGGUCCAAAUAGGCGAGAGUUUGGGACCUCGAAUGUCCGGCACAUCGUCAUGGAUAUCUGAUUCCUCGAUCGUUUUAUAAUGAGACUCCUUACAUCCGCUAUUAAUCAAUAAAUGGCUUAACGCAUUUUUGCCGAUUUUUGGGCCCCACGAGUUAUUAUUUCUAAGCCACGCCGGUUCGUAUACACCUUUGGUAUAUACAGCCGAAUACCAGCACGGACAGUCGUUGAGAGCUAAUGUUAAUCGCGACAAACUGCUACACGUAACGAUUGGUGAAAGGCACCUCUUUGAACCCAUAAAGUAGCCAGCCGGGCAGGAGCCACACUUCUAGAACUCACCAUCCCUGAUAAUACGGUUCUUGUCCUGCUGACCUGGUUGAUUCUCGACGAGUAAGUCAGGUCUAAACGGUGGUUUGUAACUCUCCCAGAUGAGUUCCACAAUCGAUAGAUACUGAUUCUCGAUUAUUAUACUAUAUGCCGUAUCACCUAGUAGAGAGAAUGCAGUUAAGCCAUUUUGGGCUGACUGGGUUUUGGCCCAAACGAGUUAUUAUCUGCUGGCGGGUCGAUUCGCUACAUAUUAGUCGAAUGCGGAAAGGUUUAGUCGGGUCCCUCGCUUGGCACGAUUCGUGUCCGUCCUACGCUUAUUUGGCGACCCCGCGAUUUGUUGUGGCCCUGUGCUUACCUGAUCUGCUUCCGACUGUUGUAGCGGUCCUGUUCUCUGUCCGAUAAUUAUUCGAUAGCAUAAAACUUCCGCUUCUUAGCAAAUUUUUCUAUUUAAAUUUUGCCGUAUUUUAGCCACGAAUUAGUGUUUACAUUCCUUUCCCUACAUCAAAGAAGGAGCAAAGUGAUUGCACCGAAUUGAGCCUUAGGCUGUGGAGAUGUUAGUGUGAAUGGAAGUAGAUAUAAAGACUCUUGUGCGUCACAUUUGCAAAACGCGGCAAAUGAGAAUCUGCCUUCAUAGUACCAAUUAUGUGUUUGCCCAUAUGUACCGGAAAGAACAUAAGAUAUAACAUCAUAGAUCAGCAAGCUAUGACGGAGGGACAGAUAUUUUCGUGUAGUUGCUAUCUCAUACUUCAGUCACUAAGCUUUUACUACUGACAUGUUUACAUGAAAAGUUCUUUCAGGCGGCGACUCAAUAGGACUAUGGGUACCGGUAUGCAGAUUUUCCCCCUUUUCAUAUAAAUUUCAUGCCUGAAAUUGGUUGUAACGGAUUUGUCUAUACUAUCCGAAAGCCUCACACAAAAUUCGAGACGCCCUUCGGUCAAAAGCUAUUUGUUGAUACAGGCACUAUAUGAGGCUACGUUCUUUGACCAAUACUUGUCUAAGCUUUCAUUGUUUGCUCGUCGAACUCAAUAUAAUCAAUUCACUUAAGAUCCUUAAUCGCACCUAGUACGUAGACAAAGGCAGUGACCUACGUCAUCGAAUAGUUAUUUACUAUUCAUUACAUAUAUGAUUCUCUUCUGUUUAAUGCCGCCCGAUGUUUAAGCACUACUAUCGUAACUCUUGUGGUCUAUGAUCCCACCUUAUUGAUUCUUCUUUCUGUCAGAGAGAAUCCGAAACAAACCAGAAGGUAAAGCGUAGCGUCAAUCAAGUGAACCUGUUAUUAUAUAAGGCAGAAGAUGAAUUAGUUCAUGAGGUAUAAUUGAAUUAACUACUAAUCUUGGAUAUAUAGCUAACUCUGUAUAUAUAUACUGACAUAUAACGUUGAAUAUAUGCUACUCUCUAAGUUUGAUUAUUUUUUAAGGCACUAUUUAUAGUUACCGACUUCCUCAUUCCAGACUCAGAAGUUUUACUUUUCUAGUUUCAUCCGCUGUGAGCACCCUUGUUCCAGACAACAGUAAUUUGCUAAUGUAGUUAUUUAAGUAUGCCAAUACUUGCUCUUUGUCUUAAUUACUCCCUGUUUUAUGUCCUUUUUUUCUAUUAUUAACCCAGAUUGGAUAAAUUAGAACCAUUAUAAAAUUUGAACUUUUGCGUCCCAUUGGAGUUUUCACAGCUUGUCUACAUAUUGUGUGUAAGUUGAUCUUUAUUUCCGAAUGUGAAUGAAGCAAAUUGAGUGGACAACCCAGAGCCUUUGCCUUCUAAGAGCACCUAGCAAUAGCCUUGAUAGCGAUUAGAUCCGUCCCUUUCUAAACUUUCACCCUGUUCGAUCUUCGCCAUGAUUCCACGGAGGUGUGCUUCCAUAUCACGUGCUUGUUGUGCCUAUUCAUUGAUUCCAAUCUGUCACUCAUGGUAAUUUGCGAUGCAUGUCCAACAGCUGAAAAGAGUGAUACCUUGGUCUUUUGUUCUUAAGCUGUAGAAGAGCAUCGCUCUUUAAAUUAAAAGAUGACUAACAUUGAAAAAGCCAAACAAAAUUGUAUCUUCUAAACAAGCUUUGUGAGUUCGUCCUAAAAUGAAAAUUGGGAAUUUUAAUGUGAAAGGGAUCAUAUCACGUCGCUGGUACAAAUGUAAUUUUCGGCUAUAGAACUAUUGUCCGUUCAGCUUUUUUACUAUAUAUUCUAUGACUAAGAAUCCUUAAUGCCUAUGAGCAAUUGCUUUCACAAUUUUAGAAAGGAUCUUUUGGCAAGAUACAUGCAAUUAUUAUUUUGCACAAAACGUCGCUAGAUAACUAUCUAGAAUGCUACAUGGUUAUUUGUCAUACCGUAUUCGAACACUUUUACAUAUUAUAAAAAGUUGUCUCACAGAAUUCCCAUCUCGAAAUAAAAUGAUGCAGCGGAGAUUGUAGCAGUCUGUUUAUAUGGUGAGUCGAAUAGCAUUGCGCGGCCUGCUAGCUUAACUUAUUGUCCGUCAUUGAAAGGAUGCUUAUACUGCUGGCCAUAUUUUUCCCUUCACUUGUGAUUAAUUUUAGUUGCUCAAAAGUUAUCAAGAAAGCACUGCAGUUAAAAUAUGCUGUAUUGAUAUAUUUCCAGUUCAUUUUUGUAAUGACUUGAAUAGUACUUAUCUUGAUUUUCAUUUGCAUCAACAACUGUACCAUAUUUCUUUUUUGUCAGUUGAAGAACUAUAUCCAAAAAAAAAAUUGGUCAAGUUGGUUGUUAAAGCUGACAGAUGUCUCCAAAGCUUUCGAGAAAAGUUAAAAAUCUUAGUAGCUGCUCGAAUUCAUGAUGCUUCAGCAUGAUAAUUUGGUGUAAAUAUAGUUGUUUUAUAGUUCGAGUAGUGUUGCCACUUAUUGUAGUUGAAUAUCAAACCAUUUUUCAUUGUUCAGCUUUUGCACAAACAUACAUUCACUAAGGUGAAAUUCCUUUCAAUUGUGGCAGACAGGACAAAUUUGUGUGUGGAAUAUCCCUGACAAGUAAGAUUUAGUUGCAAAGAUAGGGUGGAACGCAAAAUACUUUUGGCAUUUCCAUCUCCCUUCUUUUGUUAUUGUAAGUUGCAGGAUUGCCAAAUCUAUUUUACUUGUAGUUAGAGCUUAAACAGAAAAAUGCAUGACAAUCGUAAGAUGAUCGUGCCCUCGUUAUAUCCACAUUUAUGGGAAUUGGCACAUUAAUGUCUAUAGGCUAUCUCUGCAAAAUAAUUUCUAUCACUUUUGUACAUAACAAAAUGCUUAAUGGUACACCUUUUCUAAUUUCCAUAUCUAUUCUUCGAAUAUGAUACUUUUGCAAGUCCAGAAUGCACUAGAAUUCUCAAGAUAACCGAGUAGUUUUUAUCCAUGUUGAUUGUACUCUAUAUGAGUACGAGUACAUCCUUGUUAGAAGCAUGCCCUUUUUUCUAUUGGAUAUCUGCGAAUUCCUCUUAUUAGCGUGUUUAGAUAAUCAGAGUAAAUAUUUAAUGAUAUCUUAUUCCGUAAAAUCUUAUCACUGAAACUAGAGUAUGGUAUAAUCGAAUAUAGAUAUAUUCGAGCCUUCACAAUAAUUUUUUGACAUAAAAAAUUAUCUGUAAAUGAAUAUAUAUGCUACAAUAUUUGAUUCAAGAAUUUUUAAAGUCGAUAGAUGUGUCGGGAUCAAACACUUCAAGGUCCUCUUCCGAUGUGUAUAGCGGAGCGAAUACAAAAACGAGCCCCCAGAGUUAAAAGGAGUGUCGUUGAAAAGAGGAGUGAAUUGUAUAGGAUUCUGGAGAGGCUCUGGGUAUGCCCGCCCUAGCCCCUCUAUCUCGCGCUCAAGCGAGUGUUAGCAGUUUCCAAAGGCACAGGUUGACACGAUAGGGGAGAUGGCGGGAUGCACAGUUCUCCUUCCUCAUUUAAAUCGACCUAUAGAAUCUAAAAUCGGCGGUACGUGGACCGAAGUGUCAACAAGAUAUGGAGGCUCCGAAUACGGACUUAAGUCUAAAGUAUAUCUGUUGAGCUAUUUCUUAUAAAAAAAACUUCCCUACCAGCUGAAUCCUUGUAAGAUAGAGGAAGGACCGGGGACAUUGCCGUGUAUUGUGGCAGGCAUACAUGCCGAUCAGUGACAUCUAUCACGCUGUAAUCAGCAUUGCCUUAAUGUUUUUAUGGAAUAGGCCCUUGAGACGUCCAGCGGAAUUGUUGACGAUUGUGCACGUAGCUCUUGAAUAGGUGGAAGGGGGGGAACGGGGGCAGAAAGAACAAAGGGACUAGCCGAUUAGCUGCAUGCUGAUAAGCAUAUGAAAGUCGGAACCCCACCUUAUCUUUCGGAACAUCCCAUGGAAUCCGUGCUAGAGUGCAAGGCCUCAGCAGCUUAUCAUUUCUUGGAAAGAAUCUCUAUAUUUUUUUUUUUUCCUUGUACGUUCAGGUUUUUCCGUGUUUUCCGAUAGCCCUGCUGCCUUCAUCCUUGUAGUACUAAUUCAUACUUUUAAUGAAUGAAAGCAAGUAGCGUUCUACUAUCUCUCUAAACAAAAAAAGAAAACAGCCUUUCGCCCUUCUAUUUAUAUAAAAAAUUUUAUACCGAAAAAAUUAUAUAACAUAACUUCUUUGGCCAUCAAAUUAAUUUAUUGUCUAACUGUUUUGUUCGGAUCACGGCUGUAUGAUUAGAAUUUUAAAUAAACUAUAAACUUGAUGGUCACUCAAUCAAACUCUACAGUCUAUAUCGAAUGAGUGGAGAUUCUUGGAUUGAAUGGAAUCGAUUAGUUAAUAAUUUGCAGACAUACGUACGGCUUUCAGAUGUUGAAGAGAGAGAGAGAGAGAGAGAGAGAGAGAGAGAGAGCGAAUGCGUGUAUGAUUGUUCAUAUAUUUCGAGCAAUCAAGUCAGCAACAAAGAUUGGAGUUUUCUCUCUUCUACUGUCUAUCUUCCUUUAUCUGCAAUCAUCAGAUACGAAAUUUAUUCCUUUCGAAGAACUUCGCUCUGUUCAACGAGAUCCAUUUUUACCAUUCUCGUGUCAACUCAUCCAUCUAUUCCGAUCGUCAAAGUCUAUCUGAGUAGUUAAUUGCGAUUUUACAUUUUAAUACUUGUUAGGGCAGCUCGAUAUACAUGAAUUAUCGUGAUCGUUCGACUAAAACCAGUCCGAACGCAGCGAGGACAACUAUGAAAACGUUUCUAAUUACCCUCUAUCCAACAACCUAUACUCCUUGAUGCAUUUGGGGGUAUAGUCAUUAAACUGGAAUCCUAAAAGUUGCUACGUUCAACCAUUCAAUUGAGAGUAAUUUAGAUUGUUGUUCCUCGUAAAUAGAUUGGAGUGUAGCGAAUUACUGGCCUCCCAUUAAUAAGCCUAUCCUGCUGGCCAUUCCAAAAGAAUGAAGAGGCACUCAGCUUNNNNNNNNNNNNNNNNNNNNNNNNNAAUAAAAUAUUCCGGCAAAAAUUAUUUCGUUAUGGCGAAAAUACGGAAGAUAACAUUCGUUAUUCCCGCUUAUACGCCAACCAAACGAGGCUAGAAAAUGUUCACGGAAUAGAUUAGUUUUCAUCCAGUAUAUGUGACGUGAGAGGAUUGCACAGAUUAAUGGUCAAAUCGGGAAACUAUACAGAAAUAUAUAAUGUAAUUGGUCCCAUUGAACGCAUUGGUCCCACUGGCGGGUGGCCCAAAUCUUACAGCAAGCGUGGCGUGGCGUCGGGCGUCCGGGGAUGUGCUUCGGGAAAUUGACCAUUUAGUUUGGCAUUAAAGAAUGAUAAGGUUGGAAUUAAAAUGCCGUGCCGGGACGUAUGAGGGGGUACUUAUCCGUAGUAGAAAUUGGAAAUAAUACGCGUGAUUAAUUUGUAAACUUUUUAAUAGCCGAAUUACGGCCACUAAAGUGAUUUUGUCCAAAAGGUGUACUGUUACGAAAAAAAAAAAGCGUUUUGUAUCCUCCAAAUAAUUAUCAGUGAAAUAUUCGCCGAUUCCGGCGAAAUUCGCUCAAAAUUCGGCGGCCGAGCCAGGCGACGCUCGUCGUUGUCGUCCUCCUCGCCGCGCCCUGGCCCGGCGCCGGAGGCAAGAGGUGCGGCCUACGGUCCUGCCUCACGCCGCGCCAUCUGUUUCGCCCAAAAAACGCCUGGGCGAGUCGGCACGCUCGUCGUUCGUCCGUCCUCCUCCGCUCCGCCCUGGCCCGAUGCGUGGGAGCAGCAAGAGGGCCGCAGUCAGUCCCAUUCUCGCCCCGCCGUCUGCGGCUCUCGUGCGCAGCGUGGCCGCCAGAAAAAAAAAAUGAAUAGAAAAAUCACGGUGUUGGCGCGCUCGCAGGAAAGACCAUGCGCGGUCAAGAGGCCAAUCGGACGGAUGGAGGGAGGGUCCAUGGACCUCGCUUCAUAUAAUAUAUAUAUAUAUAUAUAUAUAUAUAAUUUAAUAUAUAUAUAAUUGUAUUUAUUAAUAUUUUUAAUAAAUUAUUAGUAAUAUAUAUAUCAUAAUUUUAAUAUAAUAAUAUAAAAUUAUAAUAAUAAUAUAUAUAAUAGUAUAUUUAAUUAUUAGAUAUUUAUGUUAUUAUAUAGCCGAAUUUUUUAUUCCGAAUUUUUAAUGGAUAAACGUAUAUUACCCGUAUAAAUCACGUAUCCGAAUAAUUACCGAAUCCGUUUUUUAGUCGUAUUUUUCAACGAAUUUAAAAAUUAGAAGACGAAUUUUAUCGAAAUUAUAUCCGUACCGAAUUUUUGCCGAAUCCGAAUUAACUAACUAUGGUACUUACUCGACCCGAGAUGUCACCGCCCUCUUAACUAACUAUGGUACUUACUCGACCAGAGAUGUCACCGUCCUCCUCGCGUGCGCAUAUUGUUACGACCUAAUUAAGGACCUGGGAGAGGCUCCAUUGCCAUAUAUAUUUCCCUGAGAAUUUUAUUUUGCUUUUGAUCAUUGAUGAGAUCACUCACCAGGUCAAAUCUUGUAUGAAAGUAUGGGGUUUAAAAUAUUCCUUUGGCAUUAUUUAGUUUUUUAAUGCUUUUAAUUAGGGCUCUUUUGAUUGAUGUUGCCUUUUUUUAAAAAAUUAUUUUAAACACUAAUUAUACAUAGUUAAAAAAUUAACAUAAAGAUUCGUUAACUUGCAAUGAAUUCUAACUAAAUAAUGAGUAAUAAUUUAUUGAAAAAAUUAUUAAAAAUAAAAAAUAUUUUUAUUUUUUGUUUUUUAUGUCAAAGUAUCAAACAAAUACUUUGUAUGUAAGAAUUGCGUGCAAUUUGUCAUCCCUUCUCACAUAAAUUAUAUGUAGAAUUUAUAUUUUGAAAAAAUUAAAGAAAUAGUAGCGACGUCUAACGAGGCGUUAAAAUUUUGUUAAUGCACGUGAUUCGAUGAAAUGUUUCAGGCGUAUGCCUCACAUGAAAUAUCUGUUGCGGAGAAAACCUUCUUCCUCUGCGGCAUGCAACUAAAGCAUGGGUACACGAAGAGAACCAAAAAAAAAAAAAAAAAAAAAAAAAAGGAAAAGAAAAAGAUAAAGACCACGAGUCAUCAAACAAAGAUCUUAAAUGGGCGGGCCCGGCCCGACCUUCAUUCUCUUUUGAAACCCCGCUAUAGACAUGCAUCCGGCCGCAUAAAGAAGUGCGUAAAAUCAAAAUGGGCGCCGCGGGCAGAGUCUUGCAUCUUAACCCUUCCUGUUUCUCUAAAUCGUCGCAAUCCGACAACGUCACAACCCUUUCACCGGCGCGGCGCCACCCUACCGCGCCACGCGCCCUCGUUCACAUCAGUAUAAAAAUUCAAAGCAUACAAAAUUAAAAUUUUGGGUUUACAUACUAGUUUAGAUAUCACAAAUUAUUAUUCUUUUGAUUUCGAUAUUAAGAGCGUAGAGGGGGAAUUAACUCUGUGUGUGCAAAGAUAUAUUUAUGUAUAUCUUUGUUUUGAUGAUACGAACCCGCUAUUCAAUCAAUUCACAGAUUUGCAGCUUACCAGGUAGAAACCUUGCUUGUUGAUCAUCAUUGGACGCUCUUCAAAUUGGUGUCAUAUAAAAAAGAGUAAGUUAAGUACUAUAUAUCAUGUAUUAUAUUUAGCGCGUUUGGGGACAAUUCAACAAAUACUCUUAGUAAGAGCGCUAAAAUUAGAGUUAAGUGGCUUUCCAGAGAGAUCACUUGUAUAAUAUUAUAGUUAGAAGCUGCUUGAAUUAGCAUGUCGAAAUUACUUUCUUGUAUUAAUAUGAUAUAGUAAAUAAGUUAGUGUUUUGGUUCGGACGGAAGCAAAGGAGAGAAUAACCUUGUUCCCCCCUUGUGUUCCCAAUCGCAGCGUUAGGUACGAGAACAGUAGUUUUCGAGAUUUUGAACUAGCUGCGGUAUAAGCACUGAACUAUGGAAUUGUUGUUCUUACCUUUUUCCUGGACAAGCUUUGUCGCGAUUGAGAACAAGAUUAUUUAAAUAUAAAUUAAAAUUUUAAUGAUAGUAAACUAUUAUUAAUCAAUUAUUAAUUUGAACUUAUUAUCUAUGCUAAAUAAUAAUAAAUAAAUAACUAAUGAAUUAUAAUUAAUUAUUUAUAAUUAGAUAAUAAUAAUUAUUAAUUUAAUAAUUUAUUUAAAUAAUUAUUAAUUAAAUAAUAUUUAUUAUUAAUUAUAUCUUAGAAAUAAGUUAAUGAUUAUUAUUAUUAAUUUUCUAUAUUAUUUAAAUUAAUAAUAAAAUAAAAGAUUAUUCUAGAUGAUAUUAGAUAAUCGAUAUUAUUGUAAUUAUUAUUAAAUAAUAAUAAUUAAUAAUUAUUAAUUAUUUAUUAAUAAUGUUUUAUAAUUAAUUAUUAUAAUAAUAAUUAUUUUUAUUAAUCUAUUUUAUAAUAAUAUUAAAGUGAUUAAUAAUUAAUUAAUUAAUUAAGAUAAUAUUAAUAAUUAAUUAAUUAAUUAAGUAAUAAUUAUUAUAAUUAUUAUAAUAAUGACUUUAUUACUUAUAAAUAAUAUAAAUUAAUAAUAAUAAUUAAUUAAUAUAAUAGUUAUUAUUAGAUUAUUUUAUUUAAUUUUUUUUUAAUUAUUAUUAUUAUUUAUUUAUUAUUUAUUUUUAAGUAAUAUUUUGAUGUUAAUUAAUUAGAUAAUAUAAUGUUAAUUUCAAAUUAUAACUUUUAUUCCUCUUAUUUCAAUUUAACCAUCCAAACGCUAUUUACCUUAUUCCUAGGAACAACUCAAUUUUCAUCCAAACGUAAAAUUGGUCUAGUUCCUGCUUAUACCUGAACUUGUACCUAUCCCUGGAACAAGCAGUUCUUACUUAUACCUGAACCAAACGCAGCCUAAAAGUACGAGCUCAUUAUAAUGAGGGAAUAAGUAAGAUUGUAAAUAUCAUGAGUAAUUUAUUCAUGUCUUUUUACUAUAGCUUCUGUUUUUCUUUUUAUAUUAAUUUACUAAUGUUUUUCGGAAAUCAUAUUAGGUUGGACCUAACAUUUUCUUGGAUAAAUGGAGAUGGCCUCAAAUAAUCCUCAUCGUACUCAGUUUCCUGUUACAGAGAAGUCGAUAUCCUUAGAUAUCAAGGUCUCUUUCUCUCUCUCCCGAACUAACUUUUAGUAUAAUUGGACUUACGAUGUGUUUAACAUAGUGUAACCUUAUAUAACCUUGUAUCUACAACCGAUUGGCAUGGUAUGUGCCUAACAGCACCAGAUUUGGCAUGAUUCAUUCAUAUAUGAUCAUGAUGUACUUUUAUUUUUGACAUAUUGAUGGGUUUAACGAACACGUAACGGAUUGCAUGAUUUUUUCUUGGUUUAAGUCAUUGAUGAAAACAUGCUUGAAGUGUUUAUUUGUCAUCUUAUUCUACCGGGCCAUGUGGUUUAAGAGUAUCGGGCUAAAAUAAGCAGUUAUUGUGACCAAUUGAUUCCGGUGACGUAGCAGACUGGUUACAGAUUAUGACUGUCAAUGAUAUACACUCCAACUAUAGCUACUGAGUGUGUUUAUUGAAUAGCCUAAGUUCAUUAUUAUGCAUAUUUUUAUUCCAAGCUAGCAUAUUAGUGUAACGCCCCAAUAGUCCCACAUCGGAUGGGAUGCUGAUUCCGAUUACUUAAUAUAAGCCCUACACGCUAGUAAUAAUAAAUGGGCUUAAGUAUUUUGGACUGGUUGUUUGGGCCCAACAAGUUAUUACUGCUGGCAGGUUGGGUUGUUACAUUUGGUAUCAAAGCCGAAUACCAGCCGGAAGUGUGAGAGUUAAGUGCUAUGCGGGACAAAGUACUACACCAACGGGUUUGGUGGGAGCCACCUCUUGAACCCGUAGAAGCCACCUCUAGAAUCUCACAUUGUCUGGCAAUUCUGUUCCUAUUCUGUUUGUAUGUCUGUGAUCUGGUUUGGACCCGACGUGGACGUCAGGGUCUAAACAGGGGGAGUUUGUAACGCUCCAAUAGUCCCACAUCGGAUGGGAUACUGAUUCCACGUCGGGUCCAAAUAGGGAGAGUUUGUGACGCUCGAAUAGUCCCACAUCGGAUGGGAUACUGAUUCCGAUCAGUUUAUAUGAGACCUACACGCUAGUAAUAAUAACUGGGCUUAAGCAUUUUGGGCCGAUGGUUUGGGCCCAACGAGUUAUUAUUGCUAGCGGGCCGGGUCGUUACAUUUGGUAUUAGAGCCGAAUACCAGCCGGAAGUGUGAGAGCUAAGUGUUAUGCGGGACAAACUGCUACACUAACGGAUUUGGUGGGAACCACCUCUUGAACCCAUAGGAGCCACCUCUAGAAUCUCACAUCGCCUGAUAAUUCUGGUUCUGGUCUGUCUGUGACCUGGUUUGGACUCGACGAGUACGUCAGGGUCUAAACAGGGGGGUUUGUAACGCCCCAAUAGUUCCACAUCGGAUGAGAUACUGAUUCCGAUUAGUUUAUAUGAGGCCUACACGCUAGUAAUAAUAACUGAGGUUAAGCAUUUUGGGCUGAUGGUUUGGGCCCAACGAGUUAUUAUUGCUGGCGGGUCGGAUCGCUACAAUUAGUGUAUUGCGGAAUGUUAUCUCAGCUCGCUUGGCAUUUCCUACUAUGCCCUGUGCUUCCUUCAUCCGACUUUGUAGCGUCCUUCCUGUCCGAAUUGCUGAUAGCAUAACCAUUCCGCUUCUUAGCAAAUUUUUCUAUUUAAAAUUUUUGCGUAUUUUAGCCUGAAUUGUUGUUACAUCCUUUCCCUACAAUCAAACAAGGACAAAGCAUGCACCAAUUUGAGCCUAGGGCUGUGGAGAUGUUAGUGUGAUGGAAAGUAUAUAUAAACUUUUGUGCAUGCAAGGCGACAUGAGAAUCUCUUCAUGGCAUUAUGUGUUUGGCAUUGUAGGGAACUAAGAUAGACAUCAUAAUCAGCAAGUAUACAGAUAGUUUUCUGGUGAGUUGUAUCUCAUACUUCAGCACUAUAGCUUUUACUACUGACAUGUUUACAUGAAAAUGUUCUUUCAGGUCAUGGCGACUCAAAUAGGAUCUAUGGGUACCGGUAUUAGGUUUUCCCCCUUUUCAUAUAAAUUUCAUGCUGAAAUUGGUUGUAACUGGAUUUGUCUAUACCUAUCAAAGCCCACACAAGAACUUCGAGACUCCUUCCGGUUCAAAAGCUAUUUGUUGAUUAGCAGGAUAUAUGAGGUACGUUUCCUUUCCAAAUUGUCUAAUUUCAUUUGUUGCUCGAUCGAACUCAAUAUAUCAAUUCACUUUUAAUUGUAUGCCUUAAGUUCCACCCUAGUACGUAGACAAGAGGCUAGUGACUAGUUCAUCGAAUAUGGUUUAUUUACUAGUCAUUACGAUAUAUGAUCUCUCUGUUUAACCGCCGAUGUUAGCAUCUACUUAUGUGAAUGCUUGUUGGGUUAUGAUCAGCUUAUUGUUGUUCUUUUCUGUAGAGAGAUCCGAACAAACCGAAGGGAAAGCGUAGCGUCAAUCAAGAUGAACCUGUUAUUUAUAUAAAGGCAGAAGAUGAAGUAUUUCAUGAGGUAUAUAUUGAAUAUAUACUAUCUUGGAUAUAUACUAUCUUGUAUAUAUAUACUGGACAUAUACUAUCUUGAAUAUAUGCUAUCUGCUAUUUGAUUAUUUUUAAGCUAUUUAUAGUACCCUUCUCAUUUCAGCUCAGCACGUGGUCUUUUACUUUUCCUGUGCAUGCCGAGCAGUUGGUUCCAGACAACGUAAGUUGCAUGUAGUUAUUUAAAGUUAUGCCAUACUUGCUCUUUGUCUUUAUUAUCCAGCCUGUUUUUAUGUUCUUUUUUCUUUAUUAACCAGAUUGAUAAUAUUGAACAUUUAAAAUUUUGAACUUUUGGUCCAUUAUGGAUGGUUUUCACACUUGUCUAAGCAUACUGUGUGUAAGUUGAUCUUUAUUCCGGAAUGUGAAUGGAAGCAAAUGUGAGGUGGAAACACAGAAGGCCUUUGCGCUUCUAAGAGCACCUUAGCAUAGCCCUUGAUAGCAUUGGUAUCCCACUUCUAUCACUUUUUCACCUGUUCGAUGCUUCGCCAUGAUUCACGCAGGUGUGCUUCAUGAUGCAUGCUGUGUUGUGCCUAUCAUGAUUCCCAUCUGUCACUCAUGUAAUUUGUGAUGCAUGUCCAACAGGUGAAAAGGUGAUAGCUUGGUCGUUGUGUUUUAGCUUGUAGGGAAGAGACAUCCUUCUUUAAAGUAAGAAGUGAGCUAACAUUGAAAAAGCCAAACAAGAAGUUUGUAGUUGCUUAAACAAGCUUUUGUAGUUGCCUAAAUGAUAAAUUGUGGAAUUUAUGCUGAAAAGGGAUCAUAUUCACGUCCUGUAAAAUGUAAUUUUCGGCUAUAGAACUAUUGUCCGUUGCUUUUUAUAUUUAUUUCUAUGCUAGAUGCACUUUAUGCCAGAUUGAGCUAAUCUGCUUUCCAAUUUUUAUAAAGGAUCUUUUUGGCAAGAUAUGCAAGUUAUUAUUUGUCAUCAAAAUGCUAGAUUAAUAUUCUAAGGUUGACUUGUUAUUUGUCAUACGUAUUGAAACUUCUUUACAUAUAUUAAGAGAAGUUGUUACUCACAGAAUUUCCAUUCUGAAUAAAAAGUGCUGCGGAGAUUGUAGCAGUCUGUUUUUAUUAUGGUAUUCGAAUAGAUUGCUGCGCCUGCUACUUAACUUUAUUGAUCUGCAUUGAGGAUGCUUUAUACUUGCUGCCAUUUUUUUCCCUUGCACUUGUGAUUAAUUUUUUAUUCUCAAGAAGUUCAAGAAAGCACUGCAGUUAAAUAUGCUGUAUUUGAUAUAUUUCCAGUUCAUUUAUUUGUAUGCUUGAAUAGUGAUCUUAUCUUUGAUUUCAAUUUGCAUCAAUACUGGUACUCAUAUUUCUGUUUUCUGCAGUUGAAGAACUAUAGGCAGAUGGGUCAAGUUCUGGUUGUUAAAGCUGACGAUGUUCCCAAGUUUCGAGAAAAGUUAAAAUCUUUAGUAGCUGCUGAAUCAUGAUGCCUUCAGCAUGAUAAUUUUGGUGUGAAAUAGUUGUUUUAUAGUUCUGAGGGCUAGCUGUUGCCACUUUAUUUGUAGUUGAAAUAUCAAAUCUCAUUUCAUUGUUGCAUUUUGUGCAGCAAACAUAAUUUUCAAGGUGAAGUUUCCUUUUCAAUUGGUUGGCAAGGACAGGAGCUAAAAUUUGUGUGUGUAAUAUCCCUGGACAAGGUAAGUAUUUUGUAGAUUGUCCAAAGAUAGGUGGUGGGACGCAAAAUACUUUUGGCAUUUCAUUCCCUUCCUUUUUGUUUUUGUAGUUGCAGGAUGUGCAAAUCUAUUUUACUUGUAGUUUUAGAGGCUAAACAGAAAAAUGUGCAUGAGCAUUGUAGAUUGAUCGUGCCCUUCGUUAUAAUCACAACAUUUAGGGGAGUUGCUAGUCAUUACAUUGUCUAUUAGGGCUAUUCUGCAAAUAAUUUGCUAUCAUUUUGUAUCAACAAAAUGCUAAUGGUACAUCUUUUUCUAAUUUCCAGUAUCUAUUCUUUCGAAUGAGUGAUCUUUUUGCAAGUUCAGAUGCACUAGAAUUCUCAAGAAUAACCGAGUAUGUUUUAUCAUUGUUAUUGUACUCUAUAUUGAGUAGCGAGUACAUUCCUUGUUAGAGCAUGCGGCCUUUUUUCUAUUGUGAUAUCUUGCUGAAUUCUCUUAUUAGGCGUAGUUUAGAUAUCAGAGUAAGAUAUUUAAUGAUAUCUUAUUCCGUAUGAGAAUUUUCUAUUAUCACUGAAAGCUAGGAGUGUUAUUGUGUAGAAUCGAAUAUAGUAUAUUCGACCUUCAAAUAAUUUUUUUGACAUAAGAUAAAUUAUCUUGUAAAUGAAGUAUAUUAUGCUACCAUAUUGUGGAUGUCAAGAAUUUUUAAGAAGUCGGAUAGAUGGUGUGGGGAUAAGACACUUCAGAGGUCCUUUCCGGAGGUGUAUGAGCGGAGCGAUAGCAAAACUAGGCAGGUUAAGGAGUGCGUUGAAAGAGAGGAGUGGAAUUGGAAUAGGAUUCUGGGGGAUGAGGCUCUGGGUGUGCCCGGCCUGAGCCCCUCUAUCUCGGAGCUCAAAGCGAGUGUUAGCAGGUUUCAAAUAGGGCACAGGUUGGACACGAUAGGGUGGAGAUGGGGGAGCAGCAGUUCUUUCUCAGUUAAAUCGACCUAUAGAAUGCUAAAUGAUGGGGGUACGGUGGACGGACGUGUCAACAAGAUAUGGAGGCUCCGAAUACCACUUAAGGUCAAAGUAUUCUGUUGGCUAGUUCUUAAGAAAAGAACUCCUACAGCUGAGAUCCUUGUUAAGAGAGGAUGGACUGGGGACAUGGCCUGUGUAUUGUGCAGGAUACAUGCCGAGUCAGUGGACCAUCUAUUCACCUAAUGCAUCUUCCUUAAGUUUUUUAUGGUAAUAGGCCUUGAGGACGUCCAGGCGGGGGAUUUGGGUGACGAUGUGCACGUAGUCUGGAAUAGGUGGAAGGGGGGGAACGGGGGGGCAGAAUAGAAAAAAGGGACUAGCCGAGUUAGCUGCAUGCUGAUGAAGCAUCUGGAAGGUCAGGAACAACCUUAUCUUUCGUGACAUUCUGCUGGAUUCCGUGCUAGAGGUGCAAAGGCUCAAGCAGCUUAUCAUUUCUUGGAAAGAUCUCUUAUGAUUUUUUUUUUUUCCUUGUACGUUCAGGUGUUUUUCUCGUGUUUUCCGAAGCCCUGGCUGCCUCAUCCUUGUAGUCUAAUUCAUACUUUUAAUGAAUGAAGCAAGUAGCGUGCUACCUAUUCUCUCUAAAAAAAAAAAGAAAAAACUAGGCCUUUGCCUUCUAUUUAUAUAAGAAAAUUUUUAUACCGAAUAAAUUAUUAUAAGAUAACUUAUUUUGCCAUUCAAAUAAGUUCUUAUUGUCUAACUUGUUUUUGUUCGGAUCACGGGCUUGUAUUGUAGUUAUGAAUUUAAAUGAACUAUAAACUUGAUGGUCACUCAAUCAAGAACCUUCUAGGCUUCUAUAUCGAAUGAGUGUGAGAUUUUGGAUAUGAAUGGGAAGUCGAUUAGUUUAAUAAUUUGCAGACUUACGUAGGCUUUCAAGAUGUUGAGAGAGAGAGAGAGAGAGAGAGAGAGAGAGAGAGAGAGUGAAUGCGUGUAUGUAUUUGUCAUUAUAUUUUCGAGCAAUCAAGCAGCACAAGAAGAGUUGGUUUUUCUCUCUUUCUACUUGUUUCUAUCUUCCUUUUAUUCUGCAAUCAUCAGAUAGAAAAUUUAUUCCCCUUUCGGUAGGACUUUCGCUCUGUUCAAACUGAGAUCCAUUUUUAGGGUUCUCGUGUCAAGUCAUCCAUCUAUUCCUGAUGUCAAAGUUUUCUGAUUUGAGUAGUUAAGUUGGAUUUGAGUUUUAAAUACUUGGUUAGGCAGCUGGGAGCUUCAGUUGGAAUUUAUGUGAUCAGUUCGACCUAACACCGAGUCGAAGCAGCAGCCGAGGGACAACUUAUGGAAACGUUUCUAAUUACCUCUAGUCAACAAGCUAUAUCCUUGAUGGCAGUUGGGGUAUAGUCAUUUAAACUGUGUGAAUCCUAAAGUUGCUACGUUCACCAUUUCAUUGAGUAAUUAGAUUGGUUGUUCCCGUAAAUAGAUUGCAGUGUAGCUGAAUUACUGGCGCUCCCAUUAAUAAGCUAUCCUGCUGGCCCAUUCCAAAAGAAUGAAUGAGGCAGUCAGGCUUCUGGAGGAAGCUUAUUAAUUUGAUAAAAAAGCCUCUUUUUUUAUGUUUUCGUUUCAUUUUUUUGAGAGAGGUAGCAGACCAUCUUCUUUUUCUUUUUUUGAGAAAUAAAUGGCUAUUUAUUAGUGCAAGCGAAUAAAUAAGUGGAUAAAUACAAGCAAAAAGUUUAGUGGGUAUCGAUGUUCUAAAGAAUCUACUUUUUAAAUAUGAAUCGAGAGUUGGAUGGCAUCCGCAUAAGAAAUUAUAUAGCUCUUUUUAGCUUCCCGGUGGACUCUGAUCAGCUUGAUAAAGUACACAUCUAACUUGCUAGAAAUUUACAGGCCCAUACGGUACUUUUCAUUUUUUAUUGACAAAAAGAUCAGACUGAAUGGGCCGAAAAGGAGAGGAAGCCAAGUGGUGAGUGGAGUGGAGCUGAUAAUAAACUGUUAUGAAACUUUUAAACUGACUAAUCAGAAGCAUUAGUGGUGAAGUCUCCAUGAUUUCAGGAAUUCACUAACGUAACAACUUCACCUAGUACGAUGGGCUGCGCACGACAGAUCGAUAAAGCCCGAUAAAAAUCCUUCACAUGGGUGCAAAUUAUUCAGUUCCCGAUAGGAAUCUCCACAUCUGUUCAAACGAUCCCGUUCCCACGUUUCGGUACUACACGUCUUUACUAUAAAUCUUAUAUCAAAAGGUCCACGAAGAGACAUUAUUUAUCUAUUUUAUAAACCCACAUGCGCACCUUAUUAAUUUAUUGGCUAGCUUCUGAUAGCUCCAAGGACAAGGCAUGCACGCAUAAACAAGAAGAUAAAAUCGUGGCCUAUCAAUAACCCCAAACAUUGACCACCCUGCACACGAUCAGUUAGUCAUGAUAGUUUAAUAGCGUCUAAACUAUGCACACCGCACUAAUCUGACCGUCCCUAGCACAAAUAGCAAAGGAGUUGGUGGUUGAUAUUCAAGACUCAAAUUCGAAUUCUAAUUGAUUCACAUUUUCAGCUAAAUUUAUUUCUAAAUAAAAUAAACGAAGCGAGUAACAUGCUAACUUUCUCAUAAAUAUAUAAAUAUAUAUAUAUAAAUAUUGUGCACACCCGCGAGAGAAAGAGAGGUUGAAAACAAGGAAAAACAGAAAAAAGCUCACCAAUCCAAGCCGUAAUAGUAGCAGUAUAUAACCACACCAAGUAUCCAGUACACGGAGAUCGCCACAGUAGUAGCAGUAGUACAUCACCAACAUGCAUAUACGUACACGCACGGAACGAUACAAUGCAUCCCAUAAAAUAUGCGUGCACUCUACUAGUGCAACUAGUGCUGCUUAUUCUUUACUAAUGCCACUCCUAAUUAAGUAAGAACUGGUGGCGGUGGGGCCUGCACGAAACCUAGCUAGUGGGUGGCAGGGUGGGCCCCAGCGCCCCACGGGUUUAGUUGAGGCCCGGUUGGUGGGGAGGCUUGUCGACGUCCUCGAGGGGGCGGAACCACACCUCCUGGUCCAGCACCGUCGACCCGCCACCAUCCCCCGCCGCCACAGCAGCUGCGUUGCCCGGCCCGUCCUUCGUUCCCGCGGUGGCGGUGGCGGCGGCGGCGGGCCCAAAAACGCCUGUCGUAGGGUGCGGGCCCCAGUACUUUUCCGACUCACAAGUUUCGAUCACAUGGUCCGGCACCACCACCGGGUGCACCAGAUCCUCCUCCACGUUCUUGUCGUACGAUGACGAGUACACUGCCCUCCUGCACAUAAUACUUAAUUUUUAUUAAAAAUAAUUAAAUUCUAAAUAUUUGGACCAAGGGUUAAUGCAAUCUUUCAGCCCUCUUAAGGUUUGUACCAUUAUUAGCAUUUCUCAUCUUAAAAUAAUUUGGACGGACAAAAGAGCAAUGAUACUUCUGUAAUCACUUUUUGAUGAUAACUCUAUAACUCUAAAUUACAAAAAUCCAUAAUUAUUUUACUAGUUUUUAUCAACUUUUUUUUACUACCAAAACAAUAAUAAAAAAUAUAUAUUACCGCCGAUCGUUCCUGGCGCAAGUGACAAAGAAUUUAUUGAUUGGUAUUUGAGAUUUCAAGUUCGAAUUUUAAUGGAUUCAUAUUUUUCGCUAAGUUCAAUAUCCAAAAUUUCAAAUUUAAAUUCUAAUUAAUUCACAUUUCAGCUAAAUUUACUUUUUAAAAAAAUAAACUUAGCGUUAGCAUACUACUUUACAGAGGGAGAGGAAGCUGUUUUGUCCUAUGAGAAAAAUUCUAGAAUGCAACGGGUAUAUUAGUGACGUGACGUAACAAACUAAUCAAAUUAAUCUUUUUAAAAAUAUAUGUUCCAUCAUGAUUAUAAAAAAAUAUUUGUAUUAUACUUUUGUUUAAAAAAAAAAAUAAUUAAUUUGUUAUUGAUAACGUGGUGCAAAUUGUGACAGUGUAGAAUUUCUCGUCCUAUGGGGCCAGCAGGGGCAUUUUCGAAAUAAAUAUUCGUCGGAGAACAUCGGGGCAGGCGCCAAGAACGUGACUGGAACUGGAAAUCGAGAUGGAUAAGAGCAAAUCUCACUCGUACGCGUGGCCUCCGAUGGAGCCGAUGGAGAGACCAAAAUGCCUCCUCGAUAGAGGACGAGAAAGGUUGGUGACUACCAGACGAUCAGGGCCGUUGCUUCUGCCUGUAGGACCGCAAGUACCCAUCUCACGGCUCGCGUCUUAGUCAUCGGUGCGCCUCUUAAACGGAGGGAAAGAAUCGUACGGCAGACAUGGUCCACCUCAAAAAUGCGUGCGGGGUAAUCGAGGGGGCACACAAAUCCACCGUCCAAUCAGCCUCCAAAUGAAAUCAGGAUCGUCAAUUAACGGACGGCACGAUCAAUCACCCGAGAGGUUAAAGCGACGGGGCGUGUUCCCUCUCCGGAUACCUCCUAGUGAACUCCCCCAGUGUUUUUCUUUUCUUUUUUUUUCUUCUGUCGUUUUGUGACUGCUCUCUCUCCAGGGAGUGCGAAAGAAAAGGAAAGAAAAGACGGAAAAGAGUACAAAGAAGGGGAAAACCAGUACGGAGACAAAACAAGGACGAAAAUAUCUCUGAGAAUUAGUAGAGAUGGCAAAAUUAGUGCGGAUAAAGAAACAAAGGACUUUGUGUGGGAAAUAUCAUCGCCACACACUGAAAAAUAAAAAAAAAUAAAGGAAAAGACAGGGAGGGUGGGGGGAGGGGGGGAAGGGGGAGUAAAAGAACUCUACUGGAGAUGUCCUUACAGAGUUGCAUUGCAUCUCUGGUAAAACAGAAUAGAUCCCCUCGAAAUUUCAACUCUAAGAUCCACAAAAGCAAGAGAACCUCAGAAAAAGGAAAACUAAUUGAUAUAUAUCACUGCUUAUAGUUGAUACUUAGACUGUGGAAGCAAUCAUGGUAAUAGCACCGAUCGCUAAAACAAACAUAACAGCUAACACAUCAAGAAGCAAAAAUCACCAAAUAAUUUCACAACAUCAGAUGCUUAAAAAAAAAAUAAAAAAAACCUACAACCAGUUAUACCAGUGCUUAAUUAGCAUAUAUUGAUCCAUGCGACUAAAAGCAACUAAUAUAUUAAUUAGCAGCGAUCAGUAGAGCAAAUCUAAGAAUUAACACACGGAGAGCAGCUAAAAAAAUCGGUUGAUCUCAUGAGAUCAUAACAAAUGCUGAGCAAUUAGGAGGUGUACCUUGAAUCCGACGCGGCAGAAACCGCGAUCGGAGAAGGAUUUCGAGAGGCCCAGAUCUGGUUCACAAAUCGCUUCCCGAAGCUUCCCGCGAUCGCUCGCCCCUUCGAAUUAGCGGCCAUGCAAAAGAAAGGAGUGAAAAUAGCAAAGCGAGAGGGAGAGAGAGAAGGAAAGCAAAAGCGAAAACGAAAAGGAAUGGGAUAGAGAAUGAGCCCUUUUCCAUUGGUAGCAGCCGCUAUUUAUAGCCUCGCCCACACUCGCUCCAACCGCCCACCUACCCGCCCCGUUUACUACGCCGUUAACGUUUUCCGUCCCUUCUAUUGACGGCGCUCCUAACGGCGUUAGCGCGGAGGCAAGCCACGUGAGUGGAGGUGGAGCGAAUAAUUUGGAGCAUAUUCUACACAGUUCGAAGCGUCCCUCCAGAUACUAUUGGUCUCCUGCUAGUGUAUGAAAUUUACCAAAACGCCCCGCGAUGUUUGGUCUCGUCACUGGCACGGUGAUACACUGAUCAUGUAGCUAAACUAAACGACAAAAAUAAACAGUUACAGUUACGGUGAAAUAAGUAUGUCCUAACCUUAAUCUCAGCUUCAAAGCUAUAAAAUAAAUUGGCAUUGUGAAUCUGUGAUUAUUAUUUACUUAUUAUUAUUAAAAACGAUUGAUCUCAGGCUCUUAAACGAGAGUAAGAGAUACCUAUCAACUUUCGCGGCAGCGGGGACAAGCUUUACAAUGUGGUUCAGUAGUCCAAAUGCUAAGUACUCAUAAUGAUAAGUUUAUGCUGCCAUUGGCAUCUAGCACGAGAAAAGUUAUUCAUUCAUUGGAUUAGUAUGCAUUUGUUCUCCAAGGCACGGUCAGAUAAGAGAAGAAUGAGGGGUCACCUCUCACUUUAUAUCCACAAAUCAAGUACUAAGGGUGGGAACACACUGUACGUUCCCACCCUUCCUAAGGGAUAUUUAAAUUAACGAAUUUGUAGAUCUAACGUAACUCAAGUGCAGUUGUGUUUGAAAUUUUUUAAAGGUGAUUAUUUUUUUAUUGUUUAUUUUAAUGUAACUCGUAAAUUUUGAUACUUAAAUUCAAUUACUUUCUUUGUUUAUUUUGAUAUAACUUGGUUUUGAUGAAAUUAGUUUUUUAAAUUUUAUUGUUUAUUUUGAUAUAAGUAAGUGGAUAUAAGUAAUUGAAUUUUGAUAUAAGUAAGUGGAUUUCGUUAUUUCAUAAAUAUAGUGGUAGAUUUAUUGCUAUAAAAUUUAACCUAUUAAAUAAUUAAAAUUUUUAUUAUUAUUUAAAAGUAAUCCUAAUUUAUUAUAAAUAAAGUAAUUCUAACCCAUUAUAAAGGAAGUAGAGUUUAGGUUUUACUAUUUAAUAAAUUUUUUAAAAAAAUUGAGUGUGGCGGAAAUCGAGCUCGGCACUUUAGAAGGAGAAGUCGAGAGUAGGUAAAUUGAAGGUUUAACGUAACUUGAGUUACACUAUAUUUUUAACUUAUACCAAAAUAAAUACCAAAAGUAAUGAAACGUAAGUUUCAUCCCUCCACUUGUACCAAAACAAAUAGCCCUUAAAGUGUAGGGGUGGGAAUAACAGUUCUAACCGCUAUUUUUAUUUUCAAAAUUUAAAAUUUAAAAAAUAUUUUUUAUUUUUUUAUUUUAAAAAUUUAUAAUUUGUAAUUUCAAAAUUUAAUUUUAGAUUAUAAAAUUUACAAGUUAAAAUUUUAAAUUUAAAAACAUAAAUAUAAAAUUUAACAAUUCAAAUUCAAAUAUAAUAAAAGGUUAAUAUCAUUAUUUUUUAUUUAUAACUAUUCACAAUUUUUUUUAUUUCAUCUUCUCUAUCCAAAUACUAUUUUUCUUAUUCUCAGAAACAACCUAAUUUUUAUUCAAACACAAAAUUAGUUUAAUUCUUAUUUAUACAUGUAUUUAAUUAUACCUAUCUUUGAAAUAAGCAAUUUUUACUUAUUCUCAAAUGGAACAACGCCCAAUUGUAUUAUUUGUUGGUUUUAGACUAAAUAUGUGAGUGUGGUAUUAGAAAAAUUGAAAAUUUUAAGUUGAUUUUCUUUGUUCCAAAAAACGGAAGAGUUUAUUUGGAGUGUUUUAACUUUAGAAACUUCUUUUUGUACUGUUGUAAUGGAAUCCUCCUAUCUUUUUGUAUUAUUGAAAAGUCUUUUCAGAAUGACUAUUGCCAAAAAUAGAGGAAUAUAUACUAAAGUGAUACUCGACAUUGCGUGAGGAAAUUAAGACCAAUGACUAGUUGUUUGCUUUGUCCAGCUUGCAACGGUAUAAUUUCUUCAUCUUUCUAAGUUAACUGUAGAGAUAUACAUUUUCUUUAGAUAUGUGCUACAUCCAUGCUCAAAUUUGUGUAAUUCAUUUGAAAUUGUAUAUAAUAUUCGACUGCAAUUAUUAUUGUGUCAUCAAUUACUACUAGAAUCAAGACUAGCAGCUUUGAAUAGAAUUGUUAGAGGGAGUCCUAAUAAUUUAUUCUUUAAGCAUGCUUCUAUUUGAGCUACAUUCCUGAACUUUUAAAAACGGAAAACUGCGACCAUCUCUUUUGUAACUGCAUCUUCUUCAGAUUCCUACUACUCUGUAUCGAUGAACUGGAGACACCUGAGCACACCACGAGUGAUGUCCGAAAUCUCUAGAUCGGAGCUUCAGCCAACCCCAUCAAGUCGAAGAGGUCAGUUUGCUUGACCCUUCUGGCAGCGAUCUGGUGGGUGGUCUGGAGGGAUAGAAAUCACUCUAUCUUUCGUGGAUCGGUACCCAACGCUUCUCGUUCGCUAGAGUGUGUCAAACUACUCAUGAGUAGCUGGUCAGCCGUGCUGUAAAGUGCUCCUUACUUUCUUUUCUUAUUUUCUUUAUUUCUUUUCUUUCCCUGCCUCCGCCCUUAUCUUUUGCUUGUCACCCCCCCUCCAUUUUUUUGCCUGUAUCUCGGAAGUCUUAGCUACUUCCAACAUGUACGCUCAGUUCAUUUAACUUAAUGAAUGAAGCAGGUAACUUGCUACCUAUUUCUCAAAAAAAAAAAAAAAAGCUGUAUUUUCUGAAUUAUCGUACUGCUGUAAAAUAACAAAGGAAAAAUUAUGUUAUACUUAGUUCUAGAAGUAUUUUUUAUAUUUUCCCCCAGCUUCUUUUUCUUUGGUUUUUUCUGAAAAAAAAUCCACCUAUAAGGUCCUUUUCUAAAUUAUGUCAGCACUUUCCAGAAAAAUCAAGAGUCCGUGCCAAGAGAAUUUGUUGGAAAAAGAAUUAAAUAAUUACUCACGAAAAUAUAAAUUUUUUUUUUGAGAUGUAGGUAGCACGCUACCCGCUUAAUUUAUUUCAUUUAGAAAUAAAUUUAGUUCGAAAUGUGAAUCAAUUAGAAUUCGAACUUGAGUCUCAGGUAUCAACUAUCAAAUUCUUUGCCGCUUGCUCUAGAAACGAUCGGUCUCACAAAAAUAUAAUUAUUAUCUUCUUUAAAAUAAGUUGUUCGCCUAUGACUAUUUUUCUAUUAUCUUCUCAGUAAGUACUCAGCUUGUACCAAGAGAAGUACUUCUAUAUAGCUUUCUAAUGGUAUUUUAGCUAAAAAGAUUAAAAAAACAAAAUACCAGUGCAUUAUUCAAAUUAUUAUUGAUUAGUUAUAUUUUACAGUACAUUAAUGUUCAUCUUAUAUUAUUAUUAUAUAUAUAUAUUUUUUUCUUUAGGACCUGGCUUGGGAGGAAUUCUACACUGUCAUACUUGCACCACGUCAUCAAUAACAAGCCAAUCAUAUUCAUUCUUUUCAAACAAAAGUACAAUAAAAAUACUUUUUUACAAUCAUGAUGGGACAUAUAUUCUUAAAAGGAUUAAUUUGAUUGAUUUGUUACGCCACGUCACUAAUAUACCCGUUGCAUUCUAGAAUUUUUCCUGACUUGGGGCCGGUGGAAAGAUUGUUUCUGUUCAUUAAAAUUUAUAAACUUUUUUUUAGUUUAUUAUUUUAUGUUCAAAAGAAGAAUUAAAAUAAGACUAUAAAGACAAAUCAGAAAGCGCCACGCAACUUUCUCGGCGCCAUUCAAUUGUCAGAUGUUUACUUGAAUCAAGUUCCUGUCAAUGUCGCACACUUACAUUCAAUGGGAGAUUUUUUUGGCCCGCUCAAUAAUUUUUUAUCAUUAAAAAUUGAUAUAAUCAACUAUAAUUAACUUUAGUAUCCUCCACAUGACCACAUGUCAGAGUUUGAUGGGCAUUUAAUACCACAUCGUCUAAGAGUUGAUUAACAUGGAUUAGUCACUGCUAAUCAGCAACGUCCGUGGUUAUUAAUUAAUAGCAAGGAAUAAAGUUUGUGGUUAAAAAAAAAAAAAAACGAAACUUUCCAUUAGAUGAAAUAUCUAUAGAGGUUUCAAAUUGAAGUACUUACUUGGUGUAAUUGGAAAUAAAAAAAUACAAAUUAAUUAAGUAGAAAAGGAAACAAUUUUAGAGAUUUCACGCAAGAUUUCAAAUCUAUUAGGGUGAAAAACCAAAUCCAGUUUAGAUUCUACCUCUCUUUAUCCCACUUCUGGAAAGACCCACUAAGGAAGGUAAAUGGCUCCUUAGUUCUUAAAAAAAAUAGUAUGAACAAAAAUUAAUAAAACAGUUUUUUAUGAUUUUUUUUUUCCAAUUUUUCAUCCUGUAAGUUCUAAAAAAAUUAUUUUUUUAAUGUAUAUUUUUUUCAUAUUUCAUUAGAAACUAAUAUUUUUGUUUUCUGAAAAACAAAAUGCAAAACAAAAACGAUAAUUUUUCACAAAAUUUAGAAAAAAAAUUUAAAAUAGGUUUUCUUUAAUACCAAACGAGCAAAAAAAAUUUUCAGGAAAUAAUUUUUUUUCAUACUAUUUUUAGGAAUCAAAUGGCACUUGGAAAGCACCAACAUCCAUCAUCUUAUCCAACAAAAUGAAACUUUGUUGACAUAUUGGAGUUUGGAGAUCCGGUAACAAAGUAAAAUAUGUGCAAUAAAGUCUUAAAAAUAUCAACUUCCAUCUAGAACCUUUCGUUCGGCUCAAAAAACAUUAUGUUUGGAUGGAUUGCGAUAACAAUAGCUCAAUCCUGCUACAAUCGAUACCGCAAAUAUUUUUUUUAUAGACGGAUACUAUAUCCUACUGUAGAACUAAAACUUUUUUCUCAUUCUCGCAGGACAACUCAUGUUCAAGAAUUAAUAGACAAAAGGCUAAAAAAUCUAAAAAAAAUGUUCACGGAAUUAGAUUAGUUUUUCAUCCCAGAAUAUAUUUGUGACGUGAGAGAUCGCACAGAUUAAUGGUCAAAUGUAGAAAACGAAACAAGAAAUAUAUAAUUGCAUUCCUUUUGAAUCGCCCUGGUCCCAAAAUCUACGGAGUAUGGCGUGGCGUGGCAUAGCGUGGCGUGCGCGAUGUGUUCGGAGAAUUGACCCAGUGAGUUGGUUGGACAUAAAAGAUGAUAAGGUUAGGAAAAUGGCUGUGCCGGACCAUAUGACUGGGAGUACUUACUCGACCCGAGAUGUUACCAUCCUCCUCGCAUGCACAUACUGUUACGAACUAAGGACCUGGGAUAAGGUUCAUUGCCAUAUUAUUUUCUGAGAAUUUUAUUUUACGUUUGAUCAUUGAUGAUAUCACUCGCGAUGUGUGCGAAAGAAUUGACCCAUUGAGUUGGUUGGACACAAAGAAUGAUAAGGUUAGAAAAAUAGCCGUGCCGGACCGUACGACGGAGAGUACUUACUCCACCCGAGAUGUUACCGUCCUCCUCGCAUGCACAUAUUGUUACCAACUACGAAUCUGGGGCAGGCUUCGUUACCAUAUUAUUUUUCUGAAAAUUUUAUUUUGCGUUUGAUCAUUAUUGAUGACAUCACUCGUGAUGUGUUUGGAGAAUUGACCCGUUGAGUUGGUUGGACAUAAAAGAUGAUAAGGUGCCGGACUGUAUGACGAGGAGUACUUACUCGACCCGAGAUGUCUCCGUCCUCCUGGAGUGCGCAUAUUGCUACGAUCUAAGGAUCUGGGAUAUGCUCCAUUGUCCUAUUAUUUCCUGAUAACUUUAUUUUGCAUUUGAUCAUUGAUGACAUUACUCGUCAGGUCAAAUCUUGUAUGAAAGUAUGAGAUUUUAAAAUAUCCUUUGGCAUUAUUUUAAUUUUUUAAUGCUUUUAACCAGGGCUCUUUUGAUAGAUGUUGCCUCUUUUUAAAUUAUUUUAAACACUAAUUAUAUAUAGUUUAAUAUAUAUAUAUAGAGUUGAGCUGAAAUACUAUCGGCAGCAAACGGGUUUCGUUGCCACCCAUUUAUUUUCGAAGAUGAAGCCUCCAAAUCGACGAUCAGUAUUGUUGACAAUGAUCUAUACCACUUGAAGUAUCUAGAAAUCAAAUUUCAUAUUUUUUCAAUAUUGUUCUCUUGUUCAUCAAGUGGGCGUAAAAAUGAAUUGCUGAAAAUAAAUAUCUUCUAAAAAGUGAUGAUAGGAAUUUUGUAAUCAAGAUCAAGAGUAUAGAUCUUAUUCUAAAUAGUUUAAAAAAUUUUAUACCAAAAUUCAAUUGAUUUGGAUAGCUUUACACCGUUAAACGAGAAAACGCCUCAUAUCAACCCUUAAAAUUAUAAAUUUUGAAACUCUUUGAUCAUUAGGCCAAUAAUGUCGAGAAGAUUUGAAAUUUGAUUUCUAGAUACUUCAAGUGAUAUAGAUCAUGUUCAACGGUACCGAUCGUCGAUUUGAAAGCUCCAUCAUCGAAAACAAAUGUGUAGCAACGGAGCCCGUUUGCUACCGAUAGCAUUCCAGCUCAACUAUAUAUAUAUAUUUGCCAUUGUCCAUUAGCUUACAAUGGUUUCUAGUUAAAAGAUGAAUAAUAAUUUAUUUAAAAUUAUUAAAAUAAAAUUUUUUUUUUUUGUCAAAUAAAUAACUUGUAUGUAAGAAUUGUGAGAAAUUAUCAUCCCUUCUCACAGAAAUUAUAUGUAAAAUUUAUAUUUUGGAAAAAUAAAAAAAUAGAAAUAACGUCAAACGAAGCGUUAAUUAAAAUUUUGAUAAUACACGUGAUGUAAUGAAAUGUGCCCGGUGUAUGCCUCACAUGAAAUAUCACCAAAAUCAUGGUGUCGCUAAAAAAAAAAAAAAAAAAAAAAAAAAAAAAAAAAAAAAAAAAAAAAAAAAAAAUCACCUAGUCGCCAACAAAGCGCAUAACGUGCCGGGCCUGGCCCUCACUCCUCUUUGGAAACCCCACUUAGGACAUGAUCCGGCCCGUAAAGAGAAAGGCCUAAAAUCAAAACGGGUCAGGUCCGGUCCGGGCCGGGCGCGGACUCUUCAUCUUAAACCCUUCUCCGCUUCUCCCUCACUCGAUACUCCGAUGCAUCAAACCCCUUACACGGGGCGCCCGACACCCUCCUCCGCCACCGCGCCUCGUGCCAUUCCAGGUACAAAAAUUCAAAGCAUAACAAAAUAAAAUAUGGUUCACAUAUGUAGAUCUAAAUAAUCACAAAGUAUUAUUCUUUUGAUUUCGAUAUUCAGAGGUAGAGAGGGAAUUACUUCUUUUGCAAGUUCAUAUAUAGUUAUAUAUGUGUAUAUUUUUUGGUGAUAUAAGCCCUGAUUCAAGUCAAUUUAGAAAUUCGCAGCUACCAGGUAGAAAUCUUGCUUCGAUCAUCAAUUGGACGCUUUUCAUAUUCACCACAUAUAGAAAAAAAGAGAAAGGUAAAGUUUCUAUAUAAUCAAAUAUUCAUAUGUUAUGUUUGGGGCAAUUCAACAAACAUCUUAUAAGCGUAAAAUCCAGAGUGUAAGUGCUCUGCAUGAGAGAUCGUCGGAGCUGUUAAUUAGCAUGUUCGAAAUUAUAUGUUGUAGGUUAUGGUGCAACCACUAGCGGUCGACUCAAAAAUGCUCGGUUCUAGCUUGUUUUGCGCUCAAAAUGAUUUGGCCGCAGGUCUAGCCUGGCCUGAAUCAGGCUCGGCAAUGGGGACUUCGGGCCAGCCUAGAUCGGUUAGCACCUCCAAUUGGUGCUAUAAUACACAACCAUUGACAGCAACACAAUUUGGCGACCAGGAUCUGGGCUCUCGUUAUUCCACACAUCAAUUUGAUGAUCUGGCGAGCUUGCUUGACAAUAACACGCGAGCAUCAACAGUUGGAGAAUCCUUCGCUCACAAAUCUUAUCUCCCUAGCCCUUGUUUGGUUGGGGAUUAAGGGGUGGAAUAAUCCCUUAACCCCCAUUUUAUCCCUAAACACCCUCAAAAAUAGAUGAGGUUAGCUAACCCCACCUCAAAUAAAUUAUCCCGGAUUAGCUAACUUCACCUAACCCCACCAAACUCCAACCAAACACUAUUUUCUAUUCAUAAUAAUUCACUAUCUUUCUUAUCACACCUACUCCAACCAAUCAUUAUCCUUCUUUAUCAAUCAUUAUCUUUUUAUCUCACCUACUCCAACCAAACACUAAUUUUUCAUUAUUCUAGACUAACUCCAACCCCCAAUCAAACACAAAAAAAUUUUAACCCCACUUUAACCAUGAACUUAAUUCUAUCCCUGGAAUAUCUACUUUUUCCUUAACCCCGAACCAAACGGAGGCCUAAGGACUAUAUCAUGGAUGGCGGGCUAGGUCUAGUGGUCCAACAGUCCUUAGAAAUGGCAGUGGCUAAAAGCCAGGGGACUAGUCAAAAUUCUAAUUGUCAACCUAAAACUGCGUCUUUAUCUAACUUAACUGAAGUUUUGCUUAAUGAAGUGUAUGAAGAGCAGAAAGCAAUCAGUUCUUUGCCACAACAACCCUUGCAGAAGCAGGGAAAUCAAUCGAAAUGUUCGUUAAAUGAUGACGGCAGACCAUUUCCCUCAGAUAGUUCUCCUGGAACAUAGGGUUUGCUGGGUCGAAUUUCUUUAGUACAUAAUCGGUUUAGAGUUUUUCAGUACAUAGUCGGUUUUUUAGUACAUAUCAUCACAGUUAUUCUUAGCUUCAAGUUAGAUUGUUAAUUCAUAGUACCUUUGCUUACAGGCUCAAUUAUUCUGAGGUGGCAAUUAGCCUUGUUCGCUUUCCAUCGUUUGAAAAGAUUGUCAUAUUUUCUUUCUUUUUCUUUGUAUCAAUGUCAGAACCAUGUACAAAAGAUUCGAUCCAUUUCUACUUGGAGCAUCGUUUGAUGGGUCCUGUUAGUUAUUUUACAUCAGAUUGCUCCACAAACUAGUUUCAUACCAUUUACGGUUUCUAACAUGCAGACCACACAAGUUUUAUCUCUCACUAGGAAGUACUCCUAUGAUAUGCCAGAUACUGCCAAAAAAAAACAAGUGAAAACUUAACCGGUUCGCUACAAAGCAUACCUCUUAUUCUCUUAUAGACGAUAAUCUCAUGACAUAUAUGGCCAAGUUAUGAAACGACGAAAUAAAUACAAUACAUAACAAGUAUGCAACAAAUUACCGAGGAAAAUCCAUAGACAAUAGCAGAGCGUCCUCCAGACUGUCCUGUUGUGAAUUGCUGCAACAUAAAGCUGAAGGCUCAUCCGCCGAGAUUUCUUUCUGAAUUUGGCUUUGCGGCGGUAUGUUAAGCUUCUCUUGACUCUUCUCAGCUGAGUGCUGCUUCAUAAGCCUUCUCAGUGCAUCAAGCUCGACCAACACUUCCUUCAUCUUCGGCCUCUCUUCCCCUUUAAUUCUCAAACACCUCAGCGCCACCUUUGCGAUUUCAUUAAGAUGCCUCACCCCUGCUUCCUUCACCACCCUCUGAUCCAACAUCUCCAGUAGCCGAUUCUGUUCAACCAACAUAGUGAAAUGCGAGGCUAGGUUCCUCCCUUCCUCCGACCGACAAAAAGAAAUAGGCAUCUCUCGCGUCAAUAUCUCAAUGAGUACCACACCGAAGCUAUACACAUCGCUCUUAUCUGUUAAAAGGCUCGUGCUGAAGUACUCUGGGUCCAAGUAUCCUAGGGUCCCUUGAACAACUGUGGUGAUAUGAGUUUGAUCAUAGGGCACUAACCUCGAAGCCCCAAAAUCUGAUACCUUUGCAUUGUAGCAUUCGUCAAGAAGUAUGUUAGCCGACUUGACAUCUCUGUGAAUGAUUGGUACUUUCGUAGCUGAGUGCAGAUACGCGAGCGAUGCUGCUGUCUCAACGGCUAUUCUUAAUCGAUCCUCCCAUGGCAUUGGGGCCGUUUGGUUACUGUGAAGAUGAUUAAAAAGUGUUCCAUUUGAAAUAAAUUCGUAGACUAGUAAGGGAACCUGGGUCUCUAAACAACAUCCCAGUAGUUUGACAACAUUCCUGUGAUUGAUCUGAGAGAGGAUGACCACUUCAUUCACGAAUUGCUCGAUUUGCGUCUGAUCAACCAUCUUUGAUUUCUUGAUGGCCACAACAGUUUGAUCGGAGAGCACUCCUUUGUACACAGUUCCAUAUCCUCCUCGACCGAGAAUCCGAUCCUUGCUGAAAUUAUCAGUUGCCUUUCUGAGUUCUUCAGAAGUAAAUAUUCUUGCCGGUGCUUUCUGUGAGAAGAUUUGUUGUUGUAACAUUAAGCCGCCAUUUUGGAGGAAAAAUUUCUGCCUAAGCUUUGUUUGCUUCCUUUUCUUCCGAAACCACUCAGCCCAGAAGCCUAGUGCGAGCAAAACAGCCAAUAGACCUAGUCCUGCAACUGCACAGGCACUGCAGAUUCUGAAUCCCACAACACAAACACUAGGAAAGAAUUAAAAUUAAAUUGAUAAAUUAUUUAAGUGCGACUAAAAGUAAAUUCAGUUCCUCAUCAGAGGAAAAGCUGCAGAGUUUUUGGUCGUCGUAUAUCUCUAAUUUACUAAAAAGCUUCUGCUUUCUUGCUCCAGAAAUGCGCCGGAACAGACACUUGGGUAUAACAAAAUCCCAAUGCUAGUUAAUGGUUACCUAGCCCAAUAGCUAGGGGCGCCAACCCCUCGCAGCCGGAGCCCGCCCUCAGCCCGUCGCCGCUGAUUCCGAAGGGACAAGUGCAGUUGAAUCCUCCCACCGUAUUGAUGCAUUUAUGAACGCAAGGGUUCGUUUUUGGAUCCGCGCACUCGUCGAUGUCUGUCAUGCAUUUCACAAACCAUAAAGUAGAUGAGCAAAAAAAUUAAUUAUUUAUUCGUCACAACUUCAAUUUUCCACCGUAAAGCGAGCGAGAGAAGAGAAGAAACAACGCUAAAACUAUGGUUUCCUCCGCAGAGCAGCAGGUAUUAUUGGUUAAAAAGCAGAUCAAUAAUACCUUGGCAUCCACCUUCCGUUUCUUCCAGGUAAGGGUUCCCCCGGAACCCUCGGGAGCAGUUGCAGCGAUACCCGAUGCCGUUUGUCGAGUCGUAGCAGUAGCUGCUCCCCUUGCACGCGUAGUCGUCGUCGAACUCUCCUCCUCUUUUCCCUGUCACCUCGGCGCAAGUCUCCUCCCCUAUCGACCACUCCAGCACCAUCGGCCUGUACUGAUCCUCCGGAUUACCGACUAAGUCCUUCUUCGAGAACGCAUAGUAGUCCUCGUCGACUAUGAAUGCCUUGCUACAGGGCUCCCCGGACUGGUCUUUAUGGGUGGACCCUGUGAGGCUCCUGAUGCUGGUGAAGGAGAAGUUGAGGCUCUUCAGCCCCUUGGGCAGCGAAACCUGGCAACACCCGACGCCGGAGCAUGCGCCGGAGACGAUGCUGUCGUUCGUCGCGCAGAAGGAGACGCACCCACCGCUGUACCUGUGGUUGGCGCCGCCCCCCUGCGCGAGCAUGAGGACCAUGGCGUCGCAGCCGACGGCGGUGAACUUGUUGUGGGCGUCGGAGAAGGUGUAGGGGGUGCCGCGGAGGCUGAGGCCGCGGUCGGGCGGGGGGAGGCUGGCGCCGGAGGAGUUGUCGUAGCAGCGCCACGCGACGGCGCGGCCGACGAUGCGGACGUAGCCGGAGAGGAUGGAGAUGUCGAGGACGACGUAGGGGCGGGCGGGCGCCGAGGGGAGGGAGAUGAUGGAGGAGUUGUAGCAAGGCGGAGCGUCCGGGAGAAGCGCCGAUGGGUCGAUGUAGUUGGAGGAGGAAGGCGGUGGCGAUAAUAUCCCCAGCAAUACGAGGAGGAGCAGAGAAUGGACGUGGAGAUCAGGGAGAUGAUCAGGAGGAAGACGAAAGACCAUGGCGCUUCCUUAAUUCCUUCCCCAGUAGACACUAGUCUUGAUUAGGAAGGACGAGGCGGCUGCAGCCUGCAGGCAGAGUCGGAGCUAGCGUCGGCGUCGGACUAAUGGUGGAAACGAUGGUUCGACAAUUGUCGGUAGCCAAUUGCUGGUUGUUGUUGACUCAGAGUCAACACUUUAUUUUUAUUUUAAUUUUUAAUAAUUAGUGGUUGUAUCAGAGACUCUGACUCGUUUUUAUUUUGUUUAAAUUUUUAACUCUCUCUAUUCAGUAGUGCUGCAGCUGUUUAGAAACUAUAUUGUCUGUUGUCAAUAUAUUAAUAUUUAAUAGUAUAAAAAAAAAAUUAAUUUAACUUAAAUAUAUAAUAUGUAUUUAGUAAUGAGAUUUUUUUUUUUUUUUUGAGAAAAAGAUAACACGCUAUCCGCUUCAUUCAUUGAUUAGGUGAAUUAAACUACAAGUAUGGAGCAACCAGGCUCCGAAAGAAAGAAAAAAGAAAAAAGGAAUCAAGACACGAGGAGAAGAUCCCACUCCUUCACGAAAAGCUUGAGAUUGUGGACCGCUUGCCCGGAGUUAGCUGGGAUAGUCCAAAAUAAAGAGUCGUUCCUGACCUUCCAUAUAAUCUACCAGCUGCAUCAUACUAGAACAGUAAGUCAAGAACGUUUCUUUAAAUGAUCCUUUUUGCCAAACCACCUAUCCCACUAGAACAGUAAGUCCAAAAAAAUGUAAUUUUUUUGGAAUAUAAUUUUACAUUUUCAUCUAUUUUAAAAGUGAAAAUUGAAGAACUAUGGAGAGGAGUAUCUAAUAUACAACGUGAUGAGUCUAGCCGGGAAAUAAAAUGAUCGGUGGCUGGCUUGGUUUGGGAGAAACCAAAUAAUCAUCGGAGGCAGAACAACAAACCGUGUGGGUCCUGCCGGACAUUCGAUCACUCGUUAGGGCUUCGGUUCGAGCAUUGCUUUUAACAAGCAUGAUUCAUUUCUAGAGUUUUUCUCUUUUCUUUUCGUUUUAUCUUUUUCUUUCUUUUUUUUUUUUUAGACUGUUUAGUUUAAUUCAUCAUUUUUUGAUGAAUAAAUCAGGUAAGAUGCAAUAUUUUUCUAAAAAAAUUCUCGCUACUCACAUUGAUAUGAUUAAGUGGUCAAUCUUAUUUCUAGAAUGAGUGAUAUAUAUAUGAUUUUUUUUCUUUAAAUGUAUAAAUAAAUAGCAGAACUUUUAGGCUUCGUUUGGUUUAGGAUGUAAGCGGAGAUAAUAAAAGUUAUCCCCGCUUUUCCCUGUUUAAUCAAUGUAUCUCCAUUACACUCCCACUUUUUCAGUCAAGGAAACUACAACUAUGGAGCUUCUAUGAUUGGGGAUAUCCACUGCAAUGUUUAAAGAUUUUCUACUGCACCGCUUAGUGCGAUUGGACAUUAUUGGUCGGAAUGCCGUUUCGCGAGUAAAGAAGCUGGCCAAACACUCGCUCAAUCACAAAUAAGGCAAAAUUUGGUAUGGUUUUUUUUAUUUUUUUAAUUUUUUAGAUGUUUAUUUUAUGUAAUUUGACAUAUUGAUAAAAAGAAUUUUCUUUUCUUCUCAUUGUUCGCUAGUGAUAAAUGAUAACUUAUUUAUAAAGAUUUUUUGAAACAACCAAAAUUAUUUAUUUUAAAGUUUUCACUUUUUACUACUAAAUAAAUGUUUCAGAUAUAAGGAUUGUAAGCAAUCCACCAUUUCCUUUUCCACUAUUUUAUAUAGAAAUUUUAUUUAAUAAAAAAACAGCAACAAUACCAAACAAGACUAAACAUGUAAUUUUUUGGAUUAUUAAUUAAGAUCUUUUUAUUUCUUAGGUCUAUGAUUCUUCACUAGGGACAUUUUUUUUUGGAGAAAAAAUAGCAUAUUAUUUACUUUGUUUAUUUUUUAAAAAAUAAACUUAGCUAAAAAUAUUAAUGAAGUAUAAUUCAAACUUGAAACUUUAGGUACCAAAUAUCAAGCCUCUUGUCACUUACGUUAAGAACCAUUAGUUGAUCCUAUGCUUGUAAGUACAAGUAUAGGCAUAGGGCCAAAAAUAUUGAUCCUCUGCCUACACUUCUACUUACAUCUAUAGACAAACCCCAAUGUAACAAAAAAGGCACAUCAAGCCAAGGUGGCGGUGAUAGCAGCCACACCAAUACGGGGAGGAGGAGAAGAAAUGGUCUAGAGAGAGAAAGAGAGAGAGAGAGAGAGAGAGAGAGAGAGAGAGAGAGAGAGAGGAGGACAACGAAAAAGCAUUGCGCUUCUAAUUUCCUUCCUCGAUCGCAGCAGGACUCCAAACAUUAUAGGCUUCGUUUGAUUCGGAUAUAAACAAAAACUAGCUAUUACAAAACUAGGUAUAAAUAUGGGGUAAAAAAAAUAGCAUUUUGAUAAUAAAUUGGGUUGUUAUCGGAGAUAAGAAAAAUAGUAUUUGGAUAGAUAAUAUGAAAUUAGAAAAAUAAUUGAUAGUUAUAUAUAAAAAAUAGAGCCGUUGAUAGGGAUAGUUAUACCAACUUAUUUCAAAUACCUGAGAAUUACUAUUUUUGGAUAAAAAAUUUACGUUCGGGCAUAAAAAGAGGGAUAAGAGAUUAUCCCUCAUCUUAUCCCCGAUCCAAACGCUACCUUCAGGAAGAAAGACGGAGGAUGUUCUUGAAAGAAGGCGUGGUAGUCCUGAAUAGCAGGUGAGAUUGGGGAUUUAGGAAGGAGGCUGCAGGUAGGAGUUCAUAUCCCCAAUCAUUGCUCGUUGUUUUCUCCGUCUUUUUUUUUUAUGUAGGUGUUUUUGGUGGUAUUGUCUAUUUUAUAUAUAUAGAGAGAAAGUUACGCUAGAAUAUUAUUAAUAGUAAAAAAAAUUUUUUGCUAUCAAAUUUUUAGCUCUUGAAUUAAUUAUUUUUAUUAUUUCUAAUUAUUGGAUUAAAUAUAAUAAUCCAAUGGAGACCAUGUUGGCCCAGUGGCCCUAAUCGUCUAUCAGAUUUUGAUGAUAACAAAUAAUCACGAUUAUUGGACUAAUCUCUUAUCUUGAGUCUUGUGUUUUAGAUCUCUCUAUCUUCAAAAAGGAUUCAAGAUGGACAAUAUUCUAGCACCAAGCUUCACCACUUGAAGCUGUGUUUUGCUUCUUUUGUCAAAUAGACAAGCUCACUCUCUUCACUCUUAACUUGAUUAAUAUUAUGCUUUAUAAUUAUAUAUAUAUAUAUAUAUAUAUAUAUAUAUAUAUAUAUAUGAUAACUACCAUUUUUUUUAAAAUUUUUUUGAUAUACCAAUCCUACUAUAAACAGGUAAUCACAACUCAUCAGGGCAAUCUCAACUCACCAGACUCCUAGUUUUACCGUUGGAUUCUCCCCCCCACUUAAUCCAAAGAUUUUAUUUUUAGGUUUAUUAGUUCGUUUAAUUUUUUGGCUACGUUUAUUUUCUUUACGUUUGAGCUUUUCGUGUGCUAGUUAAACAAAGCUCCAAGCCGUGAAACGGAUGCAGGGGCGGUUGAAGAGUUGUGAGCUCUUACAACCUAGAGGUGAUCUACUAUGAAAACGCCCGUUCGUGGUUCGGAAGUGUAGUUGAGGAAGAAGAAAGUUCGAAGUUCUUAAACGAAGAGAGAGAAAAAUGUUCUAAUUUAGAGUGAUAUUCAAAGUGAGUUCAAAUCUCUUUCUUAACUCUCGAUUCUCAUAAUUCUAGUGACUUCAAAAAUUCGAGUUUACUUGAUAGUUCAACGAUGGUUCACUCCGGAGUUAUGGUAGAUAAAUAUCGGAGCCUGCCUAGACAGUCAACAUGAAAGCCCGCGGGUGUUUGACAAAGGCCCGCGGGUCUUCAAACACGUGCGGUCGACGAAGAGCCUGGUGCACGCGGCGAAAAGAAUUGAAACAUACAAACCCGGCAGUUUUUAAACACCCGCGGGUCUAGAGCUCCUUGUCAAAAAGACUGUGUGCGUCGAAAAGAAUUGAAGCAUUCAAGACCCAGCAGUUUUCAACACCCGCGUGUCUUGUGCUCCUUGUCGAAAAGACUGUGCGCGGCGAAGGAGACCUAAACCCGGCAGUCUUUCAACACCCGCGGAUCUAGAGCUCCCUGUUGAAAGUUUUCAACACCUGCGAGUCUUUCAGCACGACUGAAAGAACGGUCUGUCGGGUCUAACGCACGCGGCGACGAAGGUGUUUUAGACCCGCGGGUCUAAAGCGCGGCGGACAACAGCGUUGGACAGUUCAGUUUGUCAGAAACACAAAGACCUAGUGGGCUUGUUGUUUGUCCGUCCUAGGUUUUCCAAAGUUUUCUAAGCCUAGGUGAAAGCCCGCGGGUCUUAUCCCAGGUCUUUAACCUUGAAAUGUCUUGUGUUUUAAACUCGUUAAAAACUUAUAAAUUUUCAGGAAAAGUGGAUUAGUAUUUAAAUCUUAAAACAAAUUCACUAGAUAUUCCACUAUUCUACUUAUCAAAUUUGAAUCGAGUUUCAAAGAGUGAGANNNNNNNNNNNNNNNNNNNNNNNNNNNNNNNNNNNNNNNNNNNNNNNNNNNNNNNNNNNNNNNNNNNNNNNNNNNNNNNNNNNNNNNNNNNNNNNNNNNNNNNNNNNNNNNNNNNNNNNNNNNNNNNNNNNNNNNNNNNNNNNNNNNNNNNNNNNNNNNNNNNNNNNNNNNNNNNNNNNNNNNNNNNNNNNNNNNNNNNNNNNNNNNNNNNNNNNNNNNNNNNNNNNNNNNNNNNNNNNNNNNNNNNNNNNNNNNNNNNNNNNNNNNNNNNNNNNNNNNNNNNNNNNNNNNNNNNNNNNNNNNNNNNNNNNNNNNNNNNNNNNNNNNNNNNNNCGUGUGCUUUUCGAGUUUGCAUUUCUUUUAUUUGCAUCGGUUUUUUAAUUUGCUUGAUUAUUUGGAUUUUUAUUUUAGAAACCUAAUUCACCCCCCCUCUUAGGUUGCCAUUUUGAUCCUCAGACCACUCAACUCUAACGGGACUACUCAACACUAAUGGACAAAUAUCAUCCUAACCAUAUAGUUUUUUUAAAAUUUUUUUUACCAUCAAUAGUAUAUAUAUAUAUAUAUAUAUAUAUAUAUAUAUAUAUAUAUAUAUAUAUAUAUAUAUAUAUAUAUAUAUAUAUAUAUAUAUAUAUAUAUAUAUAUAUAUAUAUAUAUAUAUAUAUAUAUAUAUAUAUAUAUAUAUAUAUAUAUAUAUAUAUAUAUAUAUAUAUAUAUAUAUAUAUAUAUAUAUAUAUAUAUAUAUAUAUAUAUAUAUAUAUAUAUAUAUAUAUAUAUAUAUAUAUAUAUAUAUAUAUAUAUAUAUAUAUAUAUAUAUAUAUAUAUAUAUAUAUAUAUAUAUAUAUAUAUAUAUAUAUAUAUAUAUAUAUAUAUAUAUAUAUAUAUAUAUAUAUAUAUAUAUAUAUAUAUAUAUAUAUAUAUAUAUAUAUAUAUAUAUAUAUAUAUAUAUAUAUAUAUAUAUAUAUAUAUAUAUAUAUAUAUAUAUAUAUAUAUAUAUAUAUAUAUAUAUAGUCCACUGAGAUACUAUCGAUACCGUCAAGAGCUUGGUGCUACUGAGUUUUCCGUCGUUAGAUUUAAUCCUUUGACUAUUUUUAUCCGUUAAAUUAUAUUAUUCAAUCUAUAACUAAUUCAAUUCUAGAGGGUUCACAUCAUUCUAACCGUACAUUUUUUCAUUUAAUGACCGAAAAUCUAAUAGCACAAAUAGCUUGGUACUAUUGAUAGUAUUCCAGCGAGUUGAGCUAGAAUACUCUCAAAAGCAUCAUGAAGGUAGUGAUUUUGAGUUUUUAGCCAUUAAAUGGAGGGAUGUGAGGUUGAGAUGAUAGUGGUAGGUAAAAUAGUGUUUGAUCCAAAAACUAUUAGUAAUCAAGAAGUAAAUUCAAAGGCUAAAAACUUGGAAGCGCACCAAGAGAUUGGUGCUUCUAAUUAAAAGUAUUCUAGCUCAAUUAGUAUUCCAGCAUAUAUAUAUAUAUAUAUAUAUAUAUAUAUAUAUAUAUAUAUAUAUAGAGAGAGAGAGAGAGAGAGAGAGAGAGAGAGAGAGAGGUUUCUAUACUUUCGAAAGUACGGAGGCCUCCGUACUUGUAAGUUAUUUUCAAUGAUGGGACUUCCAAUUCGGCGAUCGGUUUCAUUAAAUAUGAUCUACGCUAUUGGAACUAUCUAGAAACCAAAUUUCAUAAUUUUUGACUUUGUUUGCCUAGUGAACGAGUAGCAUUAAAAUGAACGGCUGAAAAUAAAAAUCUCAUAAAAAACAGUGAUAAAAGACUCAAAUUUCAAAUCAGUAGUAUUGUUCUUACUCUUAAUGUUAAGUAGAAUUUUCUAUUAAAAUUUCACAUAAUUUGAAAACUUCUACACCGUUGAAUUUAAAAACAUGUCACAUCGGCCGUUAAAAUAGUCAUUUUUGAGAUCCUGUGAUCGUUUGGUAAAUGAUGUCGAAAAAUUAUAAAAUUUGGUUUCUAGAUAGUUCCAAUAGCUUAGAUUUUGCCUAACGGAGCCGAUCGUCGAAUCGGAUUUCCUAGAAUCGAAAACAACUUACAAGCACGGAGGCCUUCGUACUUUCGAAAGCACGGGAGACGUACUAUAUAUAUAUAUAUAUAUGUAUAUAUAUAGUGCGGCUAGAAUGCUUAUGGAAGCACGGAAGGCUCCGUGCUUCCAUUUUGUUUUCGAUGUUCGGACUUUCGAAUCGGCGUUUGGCUUCGUUAGACUUGAUCUAGAGUAUUUGAAAUAUCUAGAAAAUAAAUUUUGCGAUUUUUCGAUAUCAUUUGCCUAGUGAUCGAAGUGGCUCAAAAUCAACGGCUGAAAAUAAAAAUCUUACAAAAUAUGAUGAUAUGACAUUAAAAUUUUAGAUCAAAGUUAUUGAUCUUGUUUUAUAUGGUAUAAAGAAUUUUCUAUCAAAAUUUCAUGUGAUUUGGAUAUUUCUACACCGUUAAACUUGCAACCGGCUCACCACGGCCAUUAAAAUUAUUGAUUUUGAACCCCUUCGAUAACUAAGCAAAUAAUAUCGAAAAAUCACAAAAUUUAUUUUCUAGGUACUACAAAUACUCUAGAUCAGCUCUAACGGAGCCGAUCGUCGAUUCGAAAGUCCGAACAUCGAAAAUAAUUUGAAAGCACGAAGUAAGCAUACCAGCCCACUCUAUAUAUAACACUC